Molecule: long non-coding RNA, 44705 nt
Filed under: Malus domestica (apple)
Lineage: Eukaryota; Viridiplantae; Streptophyta; Magnoliopsida; Rosales; Rosaceae
Description: long non-coding RNA (MDOM_LNC008915)
Source: RNAcentral
GAACAUGCUGAUUAGUUAGACAACUGAAUUACUAAUCUUUAUUAUUAUUGCAACAAACACACGGAUUACACUAAAAGCUAGUGAAUCAUACACUUGCAGAUGACUUAUCCAAACACAAAGAUAAGACAUGAUUUUAUUAUUAUUGCUAUAAACACACGGAUUACAGCGAAAUUCAAAAACUAAAAACAAGGAAAAAAGUAGUGAUGAAAACCAAUGCCACUUCCGGGAACACGAUUGCAUUCGCACAUGCAACAAGCCUUUUAAACCCAUAGGUGACCCAAAUGGGACGAGUGAAGUCUCGUGAGGGUUUCCAGAGACGUUACCCACAAACAUCAUGCAUACGGAUCAUCAACAUCUGACUUGGGAGACUGAGUAGAUAUCCACCCCUCCAGCAUCAGGUUGUUUUGGUUGAGGCGUAAUUCGAAUCUGUUUUCAAUGAACGGCCUGGUUAUGAGAUCGCUUUGCAAGUGACGUAAUCGGCAGCGCGUGAUUAGGUUGUUGCUGUCAGGUGGUCCGACAGGCUCGACCUUGAACAAUGUGCAAGCCCAAUUGUCUUUGGUUUCAUUUCGGUCAGCAGCUGCGGCCAGGACCAAUAGCCUGUUUUGGUCCACCCUUCUCAAGUAGUUGCCAUUGUAGGAGCAUUUGAUAUGCACGUAAUUCUUGUCGGCGUAGUCCUCAUUGUUUGGCUUCUCGGUGGUGAACUUUAUGAACCUGCUGUUUUCAUUGUCCUCGGAAAACUGGACAAUCUCAUUAAGGUCGCUUUCUGCAUCAAGUUGAUAGCGCAAAUACUUGUUGUUGAUAUCUGCUUUCAGCAGAAAAGGGCUUGGUAGUACAGGUGGUGGAGCCAUAUCGUAUAGUGUAGUUGGGAUUGGGAUGCUCUCUCUUUUUUAUUCUCUGUUGAUGAUCUAAUUUGCUUGCUGUGAAUGUGAUGCUUAGUUUAAACCUGCUAUCCUAUUUAUAAGAAAUUAAGCACAAGCUAGCUCAAGUUAUGGUCUUUAAUUAAUAUUAAUUUCGACAAAUCAGUUUCCCAUCUCUUUCAUUGAUAUGAACAUGGCUGAUCUCAUUGAUGUGGCGCAAUAUUUGUUAAAUUAGCCGUUCGGGUUGAUUUCUUUGUACAACUCAUCUGCCAAUUCUACAACUUGUAGACCUAAUUCCCAGUACAAAAUUAAAAAAAAAUUAAAAUCCAAAACUAAUAUAAGAUAAAUAAAGACUUUUUAUAUCAUAAAAUAAGACUUUCUAACUUGUAUACAAGACAAUAGUGACAAGAUCAAACACAUUGAUGGGUGCGCAUUUUCCAUCAACAUCUGUUCUGUGUGUUUAAACUGACCGUGGAGUCUUUUUAGCAAUUAAAAGUUUUGUAUCAUGUAAUUGUCUUGGUUUGAUAAGACCUACAUCUAGAUGAGAUGCUUCUGAAGACUAAUGUAAAACUUUAUGUUGAUAUUUCUUGAGGGUGAAACAUCGUUUGAGAAACGUGUUGGGCCUCAUUACAAUUUUUUCAUUUAGUUUUUAACUUUUGGUUUAAAUAUUCUACUAUGAAUAAAUUUGUGGCUUUAAUAACUAGUAAAACCACUUUCAAAUAUCUUAGUAUCGGCUUUCAGAACAAAGGGGUUUGGUAGUACAGGUGGAGCCAUAUUGUAUAGUGUAGCUGGGAUUGGGAUGAUCUCUCUCUCUUUUUUGUUUUUUUUUUCCCUUUAAUUUGCUUGCUUUGAAUGUGAUGCUCAGUUCAAACCUACUAUCCUAUUUCUAAGAAAUUAAGCACAAGCUAUCUCAAGUUAUGGACUUUAAUUAAUAUUAAUUUCCUCAAUCAGUUUCCCAUAUCUUUCAUUGAUACGAACAUGGCUGAUCUCAUUGGUGUGACGCAAGAUUUGUUAAAAUAGCGAUCGGAUUGAUUUUUCUUUGUAUAACUCUUCUGCCAAUUCUGAACUUGUACAUAUAAUUCCCAUUAUAAAAUAAAUAAAUAAAAUUCAAAACUCAUAUAAAAUAAAUAGAGACUUUUUAUAGCAUAUAAAAUAAGACUUUGUAACUUGUACAUAGUUAUUGAUAACAUUCAUCUAAGAACUAACAGAUGAAUGUAUGCAAGCAAUAUUGAAGAAAUACAGAGAGAAAGAUCGAAAGGAAUAGAGAGAGAAAUAGAGAAAGAAAUGAGUGAAAGCUUUGUUAUUUCAUAAGAACAAAAGAUCAUCACAAAAGAACCCUGAUUCCUUCUUAUAUAGUCUGCCCAUGUAGCUUAUCAGCUAAGCCACCUGUGUAACUAAUUCUUAACAAACUAACUAACUCCAAUAGCUGAUAUGGCACUUAUGAUGAUGUGUCAAUCACUAUAUAUCUUCAACAUCCCCCCGCAAUCUCAACUGGGAUUUUCUAGCUUGAGAUUGUAAAAAUGUUAGACAAAUGAAGGACUGUGAAGACCUUUGGUAAGAACAUCGGCAGUUUGCUCCUCAGUUGGGAUAUACAACACCUCCAAAUCGCCUUCAUGCACCCGUUCUCGUACAAAAUGGUAGUAUGUAUUAAGGUGUUUAAUUCUUGAAUGAAACACCAUAUUAGCACUGAUCGGAUCAUAUUUAUAUAUAUUUUUACUUCGAAUUCACUCGUCUUUUCUUAGUUAGUUCCUUAUAUUUUUGAGCUAUUUACGUUAUUUUUGUGUUUAUAGGAUUUGUUAUGCAAAGAAAAUAAAAAUAGAACAAAUGAAAUUUUAUGUAAUAAAUUCGUCAAAACUGUCUGUGUAGAUCAUCUUUUAAAUAAAAUUAAUAAAAAUAAUAAUAAUGGUAAGUCAUGAUGAUGUUUGAAACAUCAUCAUGAUUCAUGUUUUGUAGAAGAAGAAAGGAACGGCAAAGAAGGAGAAAAUAAAGAAUAAAAGGAGGGAGAGCGUCGGUGGAAAAGAAAAAGGAAUAAAAAGCUGCCUUUACCAACAGAGAGAGUGGGGAGGGCAGAAAGAAAAACACGGCAUAAAGAAUAAGAAUAAGAGGAAGUGAACAGCAGUGCGAAGAAGAAAGGAAGAAUAAGAAAAUAAAGAUAAGAGGCAGAGCGGAAGAGAGAGGAGGGGGGAGAUAAGUCAGAGGGACGCGGAACGAAGAGAGGAAAGCAGCAAAGCUGCCAGCGGAAAGAAAAGGUUGCCCUUGCAGCCUUGAAAAAAAAAGCAAAAAAUAAAGGAGAGGUCAGGAGGGGAGAGAGGUUAGAGUGCGAAAACAGAGAGAGAGAAGGCGGGAGCAGCGCAGCAGAGCACAGCAGCAGGUGCAGGGAAGUCAGGAGCUAGGCAGAUCUUCUUUUCUUGGUUUUAUCUUCUCAAACCCAUGUUUUACUUUUGGUUUAAUUUGAUAAUAAUGUGUAACUAAAUUUAUUUUGGCUAGAGGUUAAUUCAAAGCCAUGAAUAUAUUUGUAAUAUGAAUUGAUUACCUUCAGUUGUGAUUUCUGAGUUGUGAUUUAAUUUGCUUAACUGCUUGAUUGAUAACUUAUUUUUGUAUGUCGAUUAAGAAUGCAUACUUAAUUUACAUGCAUGAAUUUGAUGCUAGAAUAUAAGUGAAUUUCACCUAAUCGUUAUGAACUUAUAUUCACAAGUAGUGAAGGUUGUUAUCCACAAUCGUGUUAAGUGAAUUCUAGGCUGGAUUAACAUGCGUAUUCCAUAGUUAUGAAUGCCUAGUCAAUGUUUAUGAUUUCCGUUGAACUUAAUGAUCUUUGUUGAAUGUCUCUAUCAUGCGUAUUCCAUAGUUAGGGACUUUGAUGAGGAAUAAUUUGGUUGUAAUGCGUAUUCCAUUCAAUCCAAUGAAUCUAGGGAAAUCUAAGAGUUAAUUUAAGCGGACCUAAUUAACUUGGAACAUUGUCAUUCACAAUUUAUUGAAAGAACAACUGAAAAUCAAUUUAGGUUGCAUAUGUGUCAUGUGUGGAGAAGAACCCUCUAGCUAGUCCGUCACCUAUCCUUUCACCUUAAUUUCAUGCUUUUGUCAACUCUGUAAUUUAUUUAAGUUUAAUUUACUUCUCGUCAAAACCAAACCCCCCCAUUAUUAAAUUAUAUUAUUUAGUUAAUUUUCAUUGUUGUUAGUCAUUUAAUUCAAUUUCCGUCCAUUUCAGUUUCUAGUGUCUAAUUUGAUUGUUUUCAUUAUUUUGAGUCAUUCUAAGUGUGUUUCGAGUUAUUAGAGUUUUUAGCCUAGUUUUGUGUCCUUGAGUCUUGUUUAAUAUUUUUAAAUUAAUUUAGAAUAGAUUAGCAAUCCCUCCUAAUCCCCGGCCUAGAACGAUACCCUACUUACAUCUAUAAUACAAUUGUCAAAAAGAGGGUUUAAUUGGUGUGUCAAGUAAUUUUCACAUCAAGCACUUAAGGCAAUAGCAGACAUAUUGUCACAGUGAAUCGUUGGUGGAGCAUCCAAAAAUACACUCAAAUCCUUCAAUAUAUUUCGAAUCCAAGCUAUAUCUACGGCAGUAUGUGCUAAGGCUUUAUAUUCAGCCUCAGUAGAACUCCUGGAUAUCGAGUUUUGUUUCUUCGAUUGCCAAGAAAUUGGAUUACUACCCAAGUACACGACAUAACCAGUGAUAGACCGACGAGUAUUCAAGUCUGUAGCCCAAUAAGAAUCAGAAAAUGCAGUAAGCUUUGAAACUGUGUUUGCAGAAAAAGCAAUACCAAUGUUCAUGGUUUCUUGAAGAUAACGAAUGAUUCAUUUAACAACGCCAAAAUGAACAUCAGUUGGUGAGGACAUCAACUGACAUACUGUGUUUACAGCAAAGGCAAUAUCAGGCCUAGUAAAGGUCAUAUAUUGUAAAGAUCCCACAAUACUUAUGUAAGGUUGGAUCUGUCAAUAAUUGUCCCUCAGAGUGUAACAUUUGAUGAUGAGGUUUACAAGGAGUGGUUGCUGGUUUACAUGAUUCCAUACCUGCUUUAUGGACGAGAUCUUUGAUAUACUUAGACUGAUUAACAAAAACACUGCCAUUUGCUUUAUAUUGAACUUGUAAACCCAAAAAAUAUGUAAGUUGUCCCAUAUCCUUUAACUCGAAUACCUCAGAUAAUUAUUGAAUCACUUUUUGGAUCUUCAAAGGAUUAGAACCAGUUAAGAUGAUAUCAUGAACAUAAAGUAAUAAGAUAAUGAUAUCAGAGUCAUCCUUCUUGACAAACAAACUUGUAUCAGAAGUUGAUGCAUGAAACUCCAUAACUGUCAAAUAACUUGUAAACUUUGAAUUCCACACUCGUGGAGCCUGUUUCAAGCCAUAUGAUGUAUCAAUAAAUCCUUGUGGUUGCUGCAUAUAAACUUCUUUUUGUAAAUCUCCGUGUAGAAAAGCGUUCUUGAUAUCUAAUUGGCGAAGAGGCCAAUGAUUCAUUGCAGCUAAAGAAAGAAUAAUCCUUAUAGUAGUAUGUCCGACAACAGGACUAAAUGUGUCCAAGUAGUCAAUACCAUGUUCUUGGGAGAACCCUUGAGCUACAAGCCUUGCUUUAUACCUGGAGACACUGCCAUCAAAGUUUUUCUUCACUUUGUAUUCCCAUUUGUUUCCUACAAUUGUUCUGUCUUCAGGUGCAGGAACCAAUAGCCAAGUUCCUUGUGCUCGAAGUGAAUCAUAUUUCUCCUGCAUUGCCUUUUGCCACUGUGAAAUAGUAGGAGCUUUCCGAAAUGUCUUAGGUUCUGAAGCAUCAGUGAUCUCAGAAAGAAAGGAAUAGCCACCCGUGAAAGGUUCUUCAUCAGUGAUUUGGAGACAACAAAGCUCAGGACAUUGUGCUACUAAAGCAGCAUAAUUUUGUCCCUCAAUUGUUCCACUCUUCAAUCUAGGGACCAUUGAGUGAGUCAAUGGUGUAGUAUGUAAAAUGAGAUCAAAUAGAGAUAAAUCAGGAAGGAUUACCUCAAGUUGUGACUCAGAGUGGACAAGCAACAAGGAUUGUGUACCAGAGUGAUGAUGUGUAAGAGAGUGAUGAUGUGAAGAGCUUGGAGAUGCAUAUAGAAGAUUGGUUUCAGUCGAAUUUGUAUCUUGAUCACUAGGUUGAAUCACCUGUGUAUUGUCCGAACUAGAAAUAUUCAAUUAACCAACCACAUUUAUACUUUCACAAUUUGCAGGAAUACUGUGAUGUGAACCAGUAUCAUUUGCUGAUAUAUGUAUAGAACUAGCUGCUUGUGAAUCAUGCUGUAUUUAUGUAUGAGGCAGGACUCUUGCACUUGGAACUUGUAACUGAAUCAAAACAGGUGUCUGAGAACACCUAUAUGUAGCUGUAGAAUCCUUAGAUGGCAAAACUUGUUUAAACGGAUAUACAUCUUCAUCAUGUAGUACAUGCCCUGACAGAAUGAACUUUCUAGUCUUGAUAUCAUAACAAAUAACUCCUUUAUAUCCAUGAGCAAAACCAAGAAAUACACAUUGAGCUGACUGUAGCUCCAAUUUAUUCUUAUUGAAUGAUCUUAUCAAGAUAGAGCAGCCAUAAGAAACUCUUAACUUUGGAGGAAUAUGAAGUUUCCAAAUAAGAUUCCAUCGCCGGAAAAGCACAAGGCCUAAUGGCCCAAAAAUAAGCAGAUUUAACUGAAAAAUUACCAUCAUUUAUUCCACUUCAGAUACACUUGGCAGUCAAAGCAUCAAAACUAAUUGGAAUGCUAAGAAUUUGUUCAACCACCUCUUUAGUAAAACAAGUAAUAGUGGAUCCAAACCAUUAUUGUAACAAUAGUUAGCUACAGUAGCCUUAUAUGUAUUGUCGGCGUUACCACACAAUCCCGAUAUACGUCCAGGAUCGACAUGUGAUCUCAUCAAAUACUCAUAUCUCUAACUUACCCCACCUCCGGAAUAUGGCAAAGUGAUGAGUCAAUAUUUACCAUAUAUUUUACCCUAAUCUUAGUAUUAAUUUAUUAGUUAUUUUGGUAGAAUUUUGAUACUUUGUUAUAUAUUUCUAAUAUAGGACAUUCGACUUCAUCUGGAGAAAAAAGUAACCAAACGGAUGAUUUUUGGAGUGAUUCCAAUUGGAGGAUGUUUGUGAGUCUUCGAGAUGAUUAUAUCAAAAUUCCAAAUUUUUCUACCAAGUCGUUUGACCGUGGCAAUGAAAUUAAGGCCCUGCGCGCAGCUUUCUCAGAUUGACAUUUCGGGACAUUUUGCGUAUUUUGAAAGUCAAGAUGUAAUAUUUUGAGGAAGAUUUCUUCUGAGGAUUUGUAUGGGACGUCUCCAUCUUUCAAAAGAGACAUUUUGGGACCAAAUCGGAGUUGAUUUGGUUGGUCAGAAGUCUGAUUUUCUGAGAUCUCCGAAUUCUAGUUCAAAUAGGAAACCUUUUAUUUUCUGUUUUAUUAUUUUAUUAUGUUUCAUAGUUUUAUUGUAAGACCUUUUAGGGUUUUAUUUUGUAUUAGUAUAAAUAAGAUAUUUAGCCAUUAGGGGAAAAGGGGAGGAGAGAAUAGGAGGAGAAUGCACACAAUACUUUGGAGGAUUCAAGUUUAUUUUCAAGGUGUUUUCUAUCCAUGUUCUUAAUAAUAUUUUGUUUUAUAGUUGAUAGUAACUAGUUUCGUUUGCUAGAUCGAGGCCAUGACCCUUAGCAAGAAUACGUAGUUUCUUUUCAAUCUGCUUAUGAUAUUAUGCAUGCAAGUUUUGAAUUAUUAAUCAUCGUGCUUUAAACUAUCUAAUUGUGUUGAUGAUUGGCCGCCAUUAGGAUAUUUAGAAAAGUAAUUUGAUGCAAUUUUGGCGGAGGGCUGUCCCUAGAAUUGGUGCUGGCUUCUUGUGGUUAAUAUGUGUAACUUCUUAGGAUGGAUGACAUGUCUUAAGGGUUAUAUGGUUUUUCAAAAGGAUUUCACAAAACUUUAUGAGUCUUGCAUGUUAACUUUUGAUCUGGACACCACAGACAGGUUGCAUGUUAGAUAUAGGUUCUAUGUUGGAGGUUCCAAGUAAGGCAUACAUUAGGAAAACCUAACCAUCAAAAUAUGCAUUUGUAAUUCAUAAGUAAUUGGAAGAACUACGUAGGAUUGUUAAGGUGAUGGUGAAACCCUAGUGCUUAAAUUUAUUUUCAAAACUAUUUUCUUUGGUUUUCUUUACUUUCCCAAUUUAUAGUGGAUCCAAACCAUUAUUGUAACAAUACUUAGCUACAGUAGCGUUAAGCAUAUUAUCGGUGUCAUGCCCCGAUCCCGACAUACGUCUAGGAUCGACACGUGAUGUCACCAAAUACCCACAUCUCUAACUUACCCUGCCUCUAUGGCAAAGUGAUGAGUCAAUAUUUUACCAUAUAUUUUACCCUAAUCUUAGUAUUAAUUUGUUGGUUAUUUUGGAAGAAUUUUUAUACUUUGUUAUAUAUUUCUAAUGUAGGAUAUUCUACAUCCUCGGGAGAAAAAAGUAACCAAACAGAUGAAUUUUGGAGUGAUUCCAAUUAGAGAAUGUUCGUGAGUCUUUCAAGCUGAUUGUAUCAUAAUUCCAGAUUUUACUAUCAAGCUGUUUGACCGUGGCGAUGAAAUUAAGGCCCAGCACGCAACUUUCCCAUAUUGACGUUUCUGGACGUUUUGGGUAUUUUGAAGGUCAAGAUGUUAUGUUUGGAAGAAGAUUCCUUCUGAUGAUUUGUAUGGGACGUCUCCAGCUUUCAAAAGAGACCUUUUGGGAUGAAAUUGAAGUUGAUUUGUUUGGUCAAAAGUCUGAUUGUCUGAUAACUCCGAAUUCUAGUUCAAAUAGGAAACCUUUUAUUUUCUGUUUUAUUAUUUUAUUAUGUUUCCUAGUUUUAUUCUAAGACCUUUUAGGGUUUUAUUUUGUAUUAGUAUAAAUAAGAUGUUUAGCCAUUAGGGUAAAAGAGGAGGAGAGAAUAAGAGGAGAACACACAUAGUACUUUGGAGGAUUCAAGUUUAUUUUCAAGGUGUUUUCUAUCCAUGUUCUUAAUAAUAUUUUGUAUUAUGGUUGUUAGUAACUAGUUUCGUUUGCUAGGGCGAGGCCACGAGCCUUAGUGAGAAUAUGUAGUUUCUUUUCAAUUUGCUUAUGAUAUAUAUUAUGCAUGCAAGUUUUGAAUUAUUAAUCACUGUGCUUUAAACUAUAUAAUUGUCUUGAUGAUUGGCCACCAUUAGGAUAUUUAAAAAAGUAAUUUGAUGCAAUUUUGGUGGUGGGCUGUCCCUGGAAUUGGUGCUGGCUUCUUGUGGUUAAUAUGUGUAACUUCUUAGGAUGGACGACACGUCUUAAGGGUUAUAUGGUUGUUCAAAAGGAUUUCAUAAAACUUAAUGAGUCUUGCAUGUUCACAUUCGAUCUGGACACCACAGACAGGUUGCAUGUUAGAUAUACGUUCAAUGUUGGAGGUUCCAAGUAGGGCAUACUUUAGGAAAACCAAACCUUCAAAAUAUGCAUGUGUAAUUCAUAAGUAAUUGGAAGAACUACGUAGGAUUGUUAAGGUAACGGUGAAACCCUAGUGCUUAAAUUUAUUUUCAAAAACUAUUUUCUUUGGUUUUCUUUACUCUCCCAAUUUAUUUAAUUGUUUUCAGUUAAAUUCGUUUUUAAUAUUUUAGGUUAUAAAACCAACCUCUUCUAGACUUUAUUUUCAAAUAAUUAAUUAAGAUUUGGUUUUAACAUAAAUUAUGGCUUUUUUUAUUAGCACCCCACAAAAUGUUGAAUGCACCCCACAUUAAAAUUUAAUAUUAAAUGACUUAUUUACCCCACUAUGCAAUGACAAUUUUGACCUUAUUAGGUUUUAAAAAAAUAAAAUAAAAAUAUCUAAAUACACCCCAAAUCAAUGUUUUAGAACCUUCACAUGAGGUAAGACUAUGUUUCAUCGGUGGUUUGGUUAAUUUCAUAUUGCUUUUUUUUUUUUCUUCCGUUGGUUAUUCAUUUUCUUCUUUGCAGGUUACAAAUCCAGCCAGUGGUCCUCCUAGAGAAGGUUUGGUUAUAUCCCUUGAAAUGAACAAUGGAAAGCGACAAAAUAUUUUGGAGGUUAGACCAGAAAAUGCAUCGCAGGUUUGUUGGCAUGUACCACUCUGCCUAUUGAUAUUGAGUUGUAUGGUUCUUAACAAAUAAUUGAGGUGUAUGAUUCUUAGUAAAUAAAUGAGGAUUUGAUAAUAUUUUUUGGUGUAUUUAAAUAGGAUAGCAUACAAGGCAAUACCUCUAUAGGGGACAGUGAGGUUGCAACAACGAGCGUCGUUGAUUACACAAACGCAUUUAAAACAGACGAGGUAACUAUUUUUAGUAUAUUGAAUGUGCAUCUGUGAAUUUCAUGGAAACUCUUGCAUUCUUUUAUGCAACAUAGUGCAUUAGGUUCAUAAUAGGGACUAACAUAUGGGUUGGAAUCUUAGCAUGUCUACAAACAUUUUGUUAGUGGCAAAUGUCAAUGAUCUUGUAUGUACAGGUGUUCAAAAGUAAAAAUGAUUUCCUUGAUUGGACUCGCGCACAAGGAAAAAAGAAUAAUAUGGUUAUUGUCAUUAAGAGGUCUGAUGCGGGAAGGGUUGACCGAAUGAGGAAGAGAGCUCGAAUAACAUUUGCUUGUGAGAGACAUGGCGAGUAUCGAUCCAUAUUGAGGAAGUCUGAUAUUAAUGACCAAAAUUCUGAUGCAAAUAAUAAGAAGAAGAAAGAACCCAGGAAUACUGGUAUUAAAAAAUACGGAUGUCCAUUUAUGUUGAAAGGAGUCAACGUUGGAGAAGGAGAUGAAUGGAAAUUGGAGGUUGAGUGUGGGGUGCAUAACCAUACUUAUUCACAGUAUCUUGAAGGGCAUUCUUUUGUCGGACGAUUAACUAAAGAGCAAAAUGAACUUUUAGUUGACAUGUCUACAAGUUUAGUGAGACCCAAAGUUAUUUUGAACACCAUAAAGACAAAAGAUCCACUUAAUGUAACAACGAUGAGGACAAUAUACAAUGCAAGACACUAUCAUCGGACAAAAGAAAACGCAGGGAAAUCAGAAAUGCAACAGUUGUUAUGUAAGUUGGCUGAGUACAACUAUAUUGAGCAUCAUCAAAGUAUUGGUAUUGAUAAUGUUGUUAGUGACUUGUUUUGGACUCAACCAAUUAAUGUCGAUAUCUUACAUUGUUUCGCACAUGUACUUAUCAUGGAUUGCACGUACAAGACUAAUAGGCAUCGUUUCCACUCCUGGAGAUUGUAAGGGUAACUUCAACUAAUAUUACAUUGUCGGUUGCAUUUGCUUUCAUUGACCAUGAGAAGGAAGACAAUUACACAUGCGCAUUGACAAGAUUGAAGACUCUAAUGAAUGAUGAUUGUAUUCCUGGUGUGAUUGUCACUAGGGGUGGGUUCGGUUUAAAUCGGUUCGGUUUUUUGCCAAAACCGAAACCAAACCAAAAUUUCGGUUCGGUUCAAUUUUUUUUCUGUUUUUUUCGGUUCGGUUUUUUCCGGUUCGGUUUCGGUUCGGUUUUGGUUUUUUGUUUUUAUUUUUUUUCAAAGAAUGAAAAACAUUGAAAUUUUAAAUUUUAACAUAUCCAACACAAUCAUAACAUAAACAUUCUAACUAGAAUCAAAGACAAUGAAAAUAAACAUUUAAAGUUGAACUAAAAUCAUCAAUCAAGUCUUUCAAAGUCCAAACUAACAACCUCACAACACAAAAAUCACACAAAAAUCGUACAAAUGACUUAGAAAAGUUAAAUUGUAUGAUGUUGUUCAAAGAUCAGUGUUGUUUGCUUGUAACUGCAUGUUGACAACUUGAUUAGUAAAGGUAAUACGUGGGUGGAUUUAUUUAGUGUGUGUUGGAUUCUUUUCCAUCACAAAUUACCCAAGUAAUCUACCCGAAAUAAAUGUUUAUGGAUUAUGUUACAUGUUAUAUGAGAGUAGAUUUGGAAAAGAAAGCUGGCGUAGAAGUAGACAGUGCUAUGGAGAUGGAUGUAGGUACUUCGGGAAGAGGUUUGGUUCCGGAACCUUAUAUGGGGGAGAAAUAAUAGGUUAGGGUUUAGAGUUUUUAUAGGCCUUUUUUUUAAUAUUUUGAGCUUAAAGUUUGGCAACACAUUGGGUUAGCACAUUUUAACUUACAAAUUGGGUUUAGAAAAUAAUACCCAAAACAAAUAAUUAAAUAAAAAAUUUAAUUUAAUUAAUUCGGUUCGGUUCGGUUCGGUUUGGUUCGGUUUCUAGAUCACUAAAACUGAACCGAACCAAAAGAAUUCGGUUCGGUUCGGUUUUUUCAAUUCGGUUCGGUUUUUUUGUUCGGUUCGGUUUUUUCGGUUUCGGUUCGGUUUGGUUUUCGGUUUUUUUCGGUUUUCGGUUUUUUGAACCCACCCCUAAUUGUCACUGAUCGAGACUUAGCAAACUAAACUGAAAUAUAUUGAUUGCAAGGCAAGAGUACAAUUGUAAAAACAAGGUUUACUUUUUAAUGGAGGUUGUGUAGGAAAAAUUACAUUCAAAUUCAUUGCGGACCUCUUUUUUUUCUAAGACCAAAUCAAAGAAAAAAAUAAUUGAAUCAAUGAAUUACUAUAGCAGCUCCAUUUCUGACAAUGGCAAGAGGUCUCUGUGCUAAUCAAACUACCCCGAAAUUUUAUCCUAAAACUAUACUCGAGCUCCACCUUAUCUGCAAUCUCAAAUGCCUUCUCAAUAUCAUUUCAUGAUAAACCUGCUAUCCCUAUUUAUAAGAAAUUAAGCACAAGCUAGCUCAAGUUAUGGUCUUUAAUUAAUAUUAAUUUCGACAAAUCAGCUUCCCAUCUCUUUCAUUCAUAUGAACAUGGCGCAAUAUUUGUUUAAAUUAGCUGUUCGGGUUGAUUUCUUUGUAUAACUCUUCUGCCAAUUCUGCAACUUGUAGACGUAAUUCCCAUUUCAAAAUUUUAAAAAAUAAAAUAAAAUCCAAAACUAAUGUAAGAUAAAUAAAGACUUUUUUAUAUCAUAAAAUAAGACUUUCAAACUUGUAUACAAGACUAUAGUGACAAAAUCAAACACAUUGAUGGGUGCGCAUGUUCCUUCAACAUCUGUUAUGUGCGUUUAAACUGAGCGUCGAGUCUUUUUUAAGCACCUUUAAAAGUUUAACAAACUAACUAACUCCAAUAGCUGAUAUGGCACUUAUGAUGAUGUGUCAAUCACUAUAUAUCUUCAACAUCCCCCCGCAAUCUCAACUGGGAUUUUCCAGCUUGAGAUUGUAAAAAUGUUUGACAAAUGAAAGACUGUGAAGACCUUUGGUAAGAACAUCGGGAGUUUGCUCCUCAGUUGGGAUAUACAACACCUCCAAAUCGCCUUGCUGCACUCGUUCUCAGUUUAUAUCAAGGUGUUUAAUUCUGAAAUGAAACACCAGAUUGGCACUUAAGGCAAUAGCAGACAUAUUCUUACAGUGAAUCGUUGGUGGAGCAUCCAAAAAUACACCCAAAUCCUUCAAUAUAUUUCGAAUUCAAGCUAUAUGUGCCGCAGUAUGUGCUAAGGCUUUAUAUUCAGCCUCAGUAGAACUCCUGGAUACCGAGUUUUCUUUCUUCGAUUGCCAAGAAAUUGGAUUAUUGCCUACGUACACGACAUAACUAGUGAUAGACCGACGAGUAUUCAAGUAUGCAGCCCAAUCAGAAUCAGAAAACGCAGUAAGCUUUGAAACUGUGUUUGCAGAAAAAGUAAUACCAAUGUUCAUGGUUCCUUGAAGAUAACGAAUGAUUCGUUUAACAAUGCCAAAAUGAACAUCAGUUGGUGAGGACAUAAACUGACAUACUGUGUUUACAGCAAAGGCAAUAUCAGGCCUAGUAAAGGUUAGAUAUUGUAAAGAUCCCACAAUGCUUCUGUAGGAGGUUGGAUCUGUCAAUAAUUGUCCCUUAGAGUGUAACAUUUGAUGAUGAGGUUUACAAGGAGUGGUUGCUGGUUUACAUGAUUCCAUACCUGCUUUAUGGACGAGAUCUUUGAUACACUUAGACUGAUUAACAAAAACACUGCCAUCUGCUUUAUAUUGAACUUAUAAACGCAAAAAAUAUGUAAGUUGUCCCAUAUCCUUUAACUCGAAUACCUCAGAUAAUUAUUGAAUCACUUUUUGGAUCUUCAAGGAUUAUAACCAGUUAAGAUGAUAUCAUCAACAUAAAGUAAUAAGAUGAUGAUAUCAGAGCCAUCCUUCUUGACAAACAAACUUGUAUCAGAAGCUGAUGCAUGAAACUCCAUAACUGUCAAAUGACCAUAUACAUAAUAACUGUCAAAUAACUAUAUACAUAAUAACUCCAUAGAGUGAAGAUAGGAUAUUUAAACUCUUCUGUACUUAGAGAUAUGGUUGAUGUGGGAUAUUUCAAUACCUAUAUAUAUAUAUAUAUAUAUAUAUAUAUAGUAAAAACUACAUACAUAAUAAUACUACCAUAAUAGUUGUCACAAUCAAUUCAUCUCGCACGUCAUAUCAAAGAAAGUAAGUCAUUCAUAAAAUCAAAGUAAUAGAAUAUGAUUUUAUCAAUAUCGUAGAUGAUUCUUAUAAUCAUGUAUAUGCACGUUGGUGCGACUUAGAUUCCAAUGAUCUCUCUACUAAAUAUAUUUAUUUCAUAAACGCUAUAAUUUGUAUACAUAAUAAAUGAUUUGAUCAUAUUAAUUCUGCAUAGUCCCCUCAAGUUGGAUAGUAAAUGUCAUAAUUAAGGCUUUUUAGUCAAAAUGGAGUCCUUGAGAUUUGCCUAACUCAUUACCUUGGUCCCUGAGAUUCAAAAUCAAUAGAAGUGAUCCAUGAGAUAGUCCACCAUCAAUCAUUUUGGUCCUUCAGUGAAAAAUUGUGUUAAAUAAGAAUUAAAAUGACAAAAUUACCCUCAAUGUAAUAAACAAUAGGCCAACAUGAUUUGACAAAAAUUGAGGGUAUUUUUAAUAUUUUAUCCUUAUUUUAUGGAGAUUUUUCACUGAAUGAUGAAAAUGAUUGAUUGUGAACAAACCCAAGUACCAAUUCUAUCAAUUUCAAAUCUCAAGGACCAAAGCAAGGAGUUAUGCAAAUCUCAAUAACCAUUUUAACUAAAAAAUUAUUAUUCCUAAUUUCCUAAAGCCCUUGGGAAGGUAUCUGCCAAUUGUACCCGAGAAGAAGUGCAGCAAGGAAAAUUUUAUAAAGACAAUGGAUACAUGCCACUUCGCUGCAAAAAACGAUACUUAAAGGACAAUUUUCCCGAGUUUUUCACCGCCGUUUUUACCGUUUGCUGCAAAAAACAAAUACUCUCCCCUUGCGAGCUCCGUCGUCAAUUCCCUUCACGAACUUUGAGUCCCUCUGAAAAAAUGAUUACAUGAAAUUUGAAUUUUUCAAACUUUGUGUCUGGUUAUAUCUAACGAUCCCUAAUUCUAAAUUUAUGGUUUAGAUAUAUAAAAAAGAUAUCUCGGGUACUUCAUUGCUAUCCAUUAAGCUCCCCACUUUCAAGCAAAGCAAAAAAUUCUAAUUGAGUUGAGUUUUGAACAUGCUGAUUAGUUAGACAACUGAAUUACUAAUCUUUAUUAUUAUUGCAACAAACACACGGAUUACACUAAAAGCUAGUGAAUCAUACACUUGCAGAUGACUUAUCCAAACACAAAGAUAAGACAUGAUUUUAUUAUUAUUGCUAUAAACACACGAAUUACAACGAAAUUCAAAAACUAAAAACAAGGAAAAAAGUAGUGAUGAAAACCAAUGCCACUUCCGGGAACACGAUUGCAUUCGCACAUGCAACAAGCCUUUUAAACCCAUAGGUGACCCAAAUGGGACGAGUGAAGUCUCGUGAGGGUUUCCAGAGACGUUACCCACAAACAUCAUGCAUACGGAUCAUCAACAUCUGACUUGGGAGACUGAGUAGAUAUCCACCCCUCCAGCAUCAGGUUGUUUUUGGUUAAGGCGUAAUUCGAAUCUGUUUUCAAUGAACGGCCUGGUUAUGAGAUCGCUUUGCAAGUGACGUAAUCGGCAGCGCGUGAUUAGGUUGUUGCUGUCAGGUGGUCCGACAGGCUCGACCUUGAACAAUGUGCAAGCCCAAUUGUCUUUGGUUUCAUUUCGGUCAGCAGCUGCGGCCAGGACCAAUAGCUUGUUUUGGUCCACCCUUCUCAAGUAGUUGCCAUUGUAGGAGCAUUUGAUAUGCACGUAAUUCUUGUCGGCGUAGUCCUCAUUGUUUGGCUUCUCGGUGGUGAACUUUAUGAACCUGCUGUUUUCAUUGUCCUCGGAAAACUGGACAAUCUCAUUAAGGUCGCUUUCUGCAUCAAGUUGAUAGCGCAAAUACUUGUUGUUGAUAUCUGCUUUCAGCAGAAAAGGGCUUGGUAGUACAGGUGGAGCCAUAUCGUAUAGUGUAGUUGGGAUUGGGAUGCUCUCUCUUUUUAAUUCUCUGUUGAUGAUCUAAUUUGCUUGCUGUGAAUGUGAUGCUUAGUUUAAACCUGCUAUCCUAUUUAUAAGAAAUUAAGCACAAGCUAGCUCAAGUUAUGGUCUUUAAUUAAUAUUAAUUUCGACAAAUCAGUUUCCCAUCUCUUUCAUUGAUAUGAACAUGGCUGAUCUCAUUGGUGUGGCGCAAUAUUUGUUAAAUUAGCCGUUCGGGUUGAUUUCUUUGUACAACUCAUCUGCCAAUUCUACAACUUGUAGACCUAAUUCCCAGUACAAAAUUAAAAAAAAAUUAAAAUCCAAAACUAAUAUAAGAUAAAUAAAGACUUUUUAUAUCAUAAAAUAAGACUUUCUAACUUGUAUACAAGACUAUAGUGACAAGAUCAAACACAUUGAUGGGUGCGCAUUUUCCAUCAACAUCUGUUCUGUGUGUUUAAACUGACCGUGGAGUCUUUUUAGCAAUUAAAAGUUUUGUAUCAUGUAAUUGUCUUGGUUUGAUAAGACCUACAUCUAGAUGAGUUGCUUCUGAAGACUAAUGUAAAACUUUAUGUUGAUAUUUCUUGAGGGUGAAACAUCGUUUGAGAAACGUGUAGGGCCUCAUUACAAUGUUUUCAUUUAGUUUUUAACUUUUGGUUUAAAUAUUCUACUAUGAAUAAAUUUGUGGCUUUAAUAACUAGUAAAACCACUUUCAAAUAUCUUAGUAUCGGCUUUCAGAACAAAGGGGUUUGCUAGUACAGGUGGAGCCAUGUUGUAUAGUGUAGCUGGGAUUGGGAUGAUCUCUCUCUCUUUUUUGUUUUUUGUUUUUCCUUUAAUUUGCUUGCUUUGAAUGUGAUGCUCAGUUCAAACCUACUAUCCUAUUUCUAAGAAAUUAAGCACAAGCUAUCUCAAGUUAUGGACUUUAAUUAAUAUUAAUUUCCUCAAUCAGUUUCCCAUAUCUUUCAUUGAUACGAACAUGGCUGAUCUCAUUGGUGUGACGCAAGAUUUGUUAAAAUAGCGAUCGGAUUGAUUUUUCUUUGUAUAACUCUUCUGCCAAUUCUGAACUUGUACAUAUAAUUCCCAUUAUAAAAUAAAUAAAUAAAAUUCAAAACUCAUAUAAAAUAAAUAGAGACUUUUUAUAGCAUAUAAAAUAAGACUUUGUAACUUGUACAUAGUUACUGAUAACAUUCAUCUAAGAACUAACAGAUGAAUGUAUGCAAGCAAUAUUGAAGAAAUACAGAGAGAAAGAUCGAAAGGAAUAGAGAGAGAAAUAGAGAAAGAAAUGAGUGAAAGCUUUGUUAUUUCAUAAGAACAAAAGAUCAUCACAAAAGAACCCUGAUUCCUUCUUAUAUAGUCUGCACAUGUAGCUUAUCAGCUAAGCCACCUGUGUAACUAAUUCUUAACAAACUAACUAACUCCAAUAGCUGAUAUGGCACUUAUGAUGAUGUGUCAAUCACUAUAUAUCUUCAACAUCCCCCCGCAAUCUCAACUGGGAUUUUCUAGCUUGAGAUUGUAAAAAUGUUAGACAAAUGAAGGACUGUGAAGACCUUUGGUAAGAACAUCGGCAGUUUGCUCCUCAGUUGGGAUAUACAACACCUCCAAAUCGCCUUCAUGCACUCGUUCUCGUACAAAAUGGUAGUAUGUAUUAAGGUGUUUAAUUCUUGAAUGAAACACCAGAUUAGCACUUAAGGCAAUAGCGGACAUAUUGUCACAGUGAAUCGUUGGUGGAGCAUCCAAAAAUACACUCAAAUCCUUCAAUAUAUUUCGAAUCCAAGCUAUAUCUGCGGCAGUAUGUGCUAAGGCUUUAUAUUCAGCCUCAGUAGAACUCCUGGAUACCGAGUUUUGUUUCUUCGAUUGCCAAGAAAUUGGAUUACUACCCAAGUACACGACAUAACCAGUGAUAGACUGACGAGUAUUCAAGUCUGUAGCCCAAUAAGAAUCAGAAAACGCAGUAAGCUUUGAAACUGUGUUUGCAGAAAAAGCAAUACCAAUGUUCAUGGUUUCUUGAAGAUAACGAAUGAUUCAUUUAACAACGCCAAAAUGAACAUCAGUUGGUGAGGACAUAAACUGACAUACUGUGUUUACAGCAAAGGCAAUAUCAGGCCUAGUAAAGGUCAGAUAUUGUAAAGAUCCCACAAUACUUAUGUAAAAGGUUGGAUCUGUCAAUAAUUGUCCCUCAGAGUGUAACAUUUGAUAAUGAGGUUUACAAGGUGUGGUUGCUGGUUUACAUGAUUCCAUACCUGCUUUAUGGACGAGAUCUUUGAUAUACUUAGACUGAUUAACAAAAACACUGCCAUUUGCUUUAUAUUGAACUUGUAAACCCAAAAAAUAUGUAAGUUGUCCCAUAUCCUUUAACUCGAAUACCUCAGAUAAUUAUUGAAUCACUUUUUGGAUCUUCAAAGGAUUAGAACCAGUUAAGAUGAUAUCAUGAACAUAAAGUAAUAAGAUAAUGAUAUCAGAGUCAUCCUUCUUGACAAACAAACUUGUAUCAGAAGUUGAUGCAUGAAACUCCAUAACUGUCAAAUAACUUGUAAACUUCGAAUUCCACACUCGUGGAGCCUGUUUCAAGCCAUAUAAUGACUUGACCAAUUUGCAAACAUGAGAAAGAUAUGAUGUAUCAAUAAACCCUUAUGGUUCCUGCAUAUAAACUUCUUUUUGUAAAUCCCCGUGUAGAAAAGCGUUCUUGAUAUCUAAUUGGCGAAGAGGCCAAUGAUUCAUUGCAGCUAAAGAAAGAAUAAUCCUUACAGUAGUAUGUCCGACAACAGGACUAAAUGUGUCCAAGUAGUCAAUACCAUGUUCUUGGGAGAACCCUUGAGCUACAAGCCUUGCUUUAUACCUGGAGACACUGCCAUCAGAGUUUUUCUUCACUUUUUGUUCUGUCUUCAGGUGCAGGAACCAAUAGCCAAGUUCCUUGUGCUCGAAGUGAAUCAUAUUUCUCCUGCAUUGCCUUUUGCCACUGUGAAAUAGUAGGAGCUUUCCGAAAUGUCUUAGGUUCUGAAGCAUCAGUGAUCUCAGAAAGAAAGGAAUAGCCACCCGUGAAAGGUUCUUCAUCAGUGAUUUGGAGACAACAAAGCUCAGGACAUUGUGCUACUAAAGCAGCAUAAUUUUGUCCCUCAAUUGUUCCACUCUUCAAUCUAGGGACCAUUGAGUGAGUCAAUGGUGUAGUAUGUAAAAUGAGAUCAAAUAGAGAUAAAUCAGGAAGGAUUACCUUAAGUUGUGACUUAGAGUGGACAAGCAACAAGGAUUGUGUACCAGAGUGAUGAUGUGUAGGAGAGUGAUGAUGUGAAGAGUUUGGAGAUGCAUAUAGAAGAUUGGUUUCAGUCGAAUUUGUAUCUUGAUCACUAGGUUGAAUCACUUGUGUAUUGUCCGAACUAGAAACAUUCAAUUAACCAACCACAUAUAUACUUUCACAAUUUGCAGGAAUACUGUGAUGUGAACCAGUAUCAUUUGCUGAUAUAUGUAUAGAACUAGCUGCUUGUGAAUCAUGCUGUAUUUAUGUAUGAGGCAGGACUCUUGCACUUGGAACUUGUAACUGAAUCAAAACAGGUGUCUGAGAACACCUAUAUGUAGCUGUAGAAUCCUUAGAUGGCAAAACUUGUUUAAACGGAUAUACAUCUUCAUCAUGUAGUACAUGCCUUGACAGAAUGAACUUUCUAGUCUUGAUAUCAUAACAAAUAACUCCUUUAUAUCCAUGAGCAAAACCAAGAAAUACACAUUGAGCUGACCGUAGCUCCAAUUUAUUCUUAUUGAAUGAUCUUAUCAAGAUAGAGCAGCCAUAAGAAACUCUUAACUUUGGAGGAAUAUGAAGUUUCCAAAUGAGAUUCCAUCGCCGGAAAAGCACAAGGCCUAAUGGCCCAAAAGUAAGCAGAUUUAACUGAAAAAUUACCAUCAUUUAUUCCACUUCAGAUACACUUGGCAGUCAAAGCAUCAAAACUAAUUGGAAUGCUAAGAAUUUGUUCAACCACCUCUUUAGUAAAACAAGUAAUAGUGGAUCCAAACCAUUAUUGUAACAAUAGUUAGCUACAGUAGCCUUAUAUGUAUUGUCGGCGUUACCACACAAUCCCGAUAUACGUCCAGGAUCGACAUGUGAUCUCAUCAAAUACUCAUAUCUCUAACUUACCCCACCUCCGGAAUAUGGCAAAGUGAUGAGUCAAUAUUUACCAUAUAUUUUACCCUAAUCUUAGUAUUAAUUUAUUAAUUAUUUUGGUAGAAUUUUGAUACUUUGUUAUAUAUUUCUAACAUAGGACAUUCGACUUCAUCUGGAGAAAAAAGUAACCAAACGGAUGAUUUUUGGAGUGAUUCCAAUUGGAGGAUGUUUGUGAGUCUUUCGAGAUGAUUAUAUCAAAAUUCCAAAUUUUUCUACCUAGCCGUUUGACCGUGGCAAUGAAAUUAAGGCCCUGCGCGCAGCUUUCUCAGAUUGACAUUUCAGGACAUUUCGGGACAUUUUUUCAAUUCGGUUCGGUUUUUUUGUUCGGUUCGGUUUUUUCGGUUUCGGUUCGGUUUGGUUUUCGGUUUUUUUCGGUUUUCGGUUUUUUGAACCCACCCCUAAUUGUCACUGAUCGAGACUUAGCAAACUAAACUGAAAUAUAUUGAUUGCAAGGCAAGAGUACAAUUGUAAAAACAAGGUUUACUUUUUAAUGGAGGUUGUGUAGGAAAAAUUACAUUCAAAUUCAUUGCGGACCUCUUUUUUUUCUAAGACCAAAUCAAAGAAAAAAAUAAUUGAAUCAAUGAAUUACUAUAGCAGCUCCAUUUCUGACAAUGGCAAGAGGUCUCUGUGCUAAUCAAACUACCCGAAAUUUAUCCUAAAACUAUACUCGAGCUCCACCUUAUCUGCAAUCUCAAAUGCCUUCUCAAUAUCAUUUCAUGAUAAACCUGCUAUCCUAUUUAUAAGAAAUUAAGCACAAGCUAGCUCAAGUUAUGGUCUUUAAUUAAUAUUAAUUUCGACAAAUCAGCUUCCCAUCUCUUUCAUUCAUAUGAACAUGGCGCAAUAUUUGUUAAAUUAGCUGUUCGGGUUGAUUUCUUUGUAUAACUCUUCUGCCAAUUCUGCAACUUGUAGACGUAAUUCCCAUUUCAAAAUUUUAAAAAAUAAAAUAAAAUCCAAAACUAAUGUAAGAUAAAUAAAGACUUUUUAUAUCAUAAAAUAAGACUUUCAAACUUGUAUACAAGACUAUAGUGACAAAAUCAAACACAUUGAUGGGUGCGCAUGUUCCUUCAACAUCUGUUAUGUGCGUUUAAACUGAGCGUCGAGUCUUUUUUAGCAAUUAAAAGUUUUGUAUCAUGUAAUUGUCUUGGUUUGAUAAGACCUACAUCUGGAUAAGUUGCUUCUGAAGACUAAUGUAAAACUUUAUGUUGAUAAUUCUUGAGGGUGAAACAUCGUUUGAGAAAUGUUUUGGACCUCAUUACAAUUUUUUCAUUUAUUUUUUAACUUUUGGUUUAAAUAUUCUACUACAAAUACAUUUGUGGCUUCAAUAACUACUAAAACCACUUUCAAAUAUCUUAGUAUUGGCUUUCAGAACAAAGGGGUUUGGUAGUACAGGUUGAGCCAUGUUGUAUAGUGUAGCUGGGAUUGGGACGAUCUCUCUCUUUAUUUAUUUAUUUUUUUCCUUUAAUUUGCUUGCUUUGAAUGUGAUGCUCAGUUCAAACCUACUAUCCUAUUUCUAAGAAAUUAAGCACAAGCUAUCUCAAGUUAUGGUCUUUAAUUAAUAUUAAUUUCCUCAAUCAGUUUCCCAUUUCUUUCAUUGAUACGAACAUGGCUGAUCUCAUUGGUGUGACGCAAGAUUUGUUAAAAUAGCUGAUCGGAUUGAUUUUUUCUUUGUACCCGAGAAGAAAUGCAGGAAGGAGGAAUUUAUAAAGACAACGGAUACCUGCUCUUCGCUGCAAAAAACGACACUUAAAAGGACAAUUUUCCCGAGGUUUUCACCGCUGUUUUUACCGUUUGCUGCCAAAAACAAAUACUCUCCCCUUGCGAGCUCCGUUGUCAAUUCCCCUCGCGAACUUUGAGUCCCUCUGAAAAAAUGAUUAAGUGAAAUUUGAAUUUUUCAAACUUUGUGUUUGGUUAUAUCUAACAAUCCCUAAUUCCAAAUUUAUGGUUUAGAUAUAUAAAAAAGAUAUCUCGGGUACUUCAUUGCUAUCCAUUAAGCUCCCCACUUUCAAACAAAGCAGAAAAUUCUAAUUGAGUUGGGUUUUGAACAUGCAGAUUAGUUAGACAACUGAAUUACCAAUCCUUAUUAUUAUUGCAACAAACACACGGAUUACACUAAAAGCUAGUGAAUCAUACACUUGCAGAUGACUUAUCCAAACACAAAGAUAAGACAUGAGUUUAUUGUUAAAUUGUGGCCAAGUGGCCAUCACCUUUUGUAUUAAACAAAUAAAAAGAAAAAAAAAAGGGAGACAUCAUGAUGUUGUUUCUUACUUUGUGAUAAUGACAAAUGAUGAUGUUGGAGAAUUAUUUUUUAUUUGGCCCAUGUGGGAAGUCACGGGGUGACUUGAAGGAUUUAUUUAGCAGCAAUUGCUGCUUGUGUGGUUAAGAGAAGAAAACAGAGAGCAGAAGAAAAAGGAAAGAGAGCUGCCGAGAGCAAGAGAGUUGCAGAGAGCCCAAACAGAAAAAGAAGCUGCUGCUUCAUUUGAUUAGUAAUCAUCAACCAAAGUAGUUGUUGUUGUAAUAGUUUUGAGCUAUAUGUAUAGAGAAGAAAUUAUUCAUUAUAUUUCUUUCUCUAUUUGUUUCUUUGGUGUGUGAGAGUUAUUGGGUGUAUUGGGCUUUUGGGUUGUGAGAUUGUCAACACUUUGUAAACUCCCAUUUGGUUGAUAGUGGAUUAUUGGGUGAGCUCCUACUGCUCCGAGGACGUACUCCAGUUACACUGACUGUUGAGGAACCUCGUUAAAAUCUUGGUGUUCUUUUAUAUUUUGUUCUUGCAUUUUCAUUUGAUAAAUUUCCUGUGGGUUAGCUUGAGUUGGUUCCAACGGGUUUGGUGCUAUCCUAGCACAACAAUUGGUAUCAGAGCACUGGUUGCUCUUGGGUACUGUCUAGUUGCCAAAGAUGUCAGACGGGCAAGAUGAGAAUCCUUUUGGAAGCACCUCCGGGUUUGCAAGAACUACGGUGCAAAAUGCAAAGUUCGAAGUGGAAAAGUUUGAUGGCACAAACAACUUCGGGAUGUGGCAAUGUGAGGUCAAAGAUGUGUUGGCUCAACAAGAUCUACUUGCCGCUUUGGGAGAGAAGCCGGAAGCUAUGUCGAAGCCGGAAUGGGAGAAAUUAAAUUUGUGGGCUUGCUCUUCAAUUCGGUUGUGCCUUGCAAAAACUCAGAAGUAUUUUUUGUGAUGCGGGAGACAUUGGCAAGUGUGUGUGGCAAAAAUUGGAAGACAAGUAUAUGACGAAGAGUGCAGAGAACCGGCUACACUUGAAGAAAAAACUCUACCGCUUCCAAUACAAAGAAGGUACAAAAAUGAUUAGACACCUUGAUGCUUUUAAUAAGUUGAUUGCCGACUUGUUAAAUUUAGAUGAGGAUAUUAAGGAUGAAGAUAAGGCCUUAAUAUUGUUGAAUUCCUUGCCGGACUCUUAUGAGCAUUUUGUUACCACUAUUAUGCAUGGUAAAAAAACUGUGAAAUUUGAAGAUGUGUCAAAUGCCUUGAUGAAUUAUGAAAUGAGGCAUAGAGAUAAAAAUCAUGAUAGUACCUCUGAAGCUUUAUUUGUUAGAGGUAGAUCAUCGGAGAGGAGGUCAUCUUCUAGCAGGAAAAAAUCACAAUCUCGACCUAGAGGAAACUCUAAAGGUAGAAAACCUUUGGAAAGGGAUGAAUGUGCCUUUUGUCGUAAUAAGGGCCAUUGGAAGAAAGAUUGUCCUAAAUUGAAGAACAAAGGCAAAGAAAGUUCUGAAGCUAAUGUUGCUGAGGUUGAAACAGAUUUUUCUGAUUUUGCUUUAACCACUUCCUCAUCAUUUGAUUGUGCUACUAAGUGGGUGUUGGAUACGGGUUGUACUCAUCAUAUGACUCCUCACAAGGAUUGGUUUUCAAGCUUGAAAGAGUUUGAUGGUGGCGUUGUGUUCAUGGGAGAUGACAAUCCUUGCACAACAAAAGGGAUUGGUACAGUUCGUUUGAAGUUGCAUGAUGGCAUGGUUAAAGAGUUGACAGGUGUUCGGUAUGUACCGAAUUUGAAGAAAAAUCUUAUUUCUUUGGGUACUUUGGAAUCCAAGGGUUUCAGGUUUCAUUCAGAUGGACAGACAUUGAAAGUUACUUAUGGUGCACAUGUUGUGAUGAAAGCUCCUAGAUGUGGCCAUUUGUAUUUAUUGCAGGGAAGCACUGUGACAGGUGAAGCAUCUGUAGUCUCUGAAAAUAUGGGCACAUCUGAUUCAGAUACUACUAGAUUGUGGCAUAUGAGAUUAGGCCGUACCGGUGAGAAAGCUCUACAAGGGCUUGUGAAACAAGGUCUUCUAAAAGGUGCCAUGACUUGUAAGCUUGAUUUCUGUGAGCAUUGUGUCUUGGGGAAGCAAACUAGAGUGAAGUUUGGUACUGCUGUACAUCAGACGAAGGGCAUUCUUGAUUAUGUGCAUUCGGAUGUUUGGGGUCCUACAAAGACUCCCUCUUUGAGUGGUAGACAUUGGUUCGUGACCUUUGUUGAUGAUUAUUCAAGAAGGUCUUGGGUCUACACUAUGAAGCACAAGAGUGAGCUGUUAAGCAUUUUCUUGGGUUGGAAGAAAAUGGUUGAGAACCAGACUGGGAGAAAGAUUAAGAUUUUGAGAUCGGAUAAUGGUGGUGAAUACACAUCCGAUCCUUUCUUUAAAGUUUGCAAAGAGGAAGGAAUUGUGAGACAUUUCAGUGUUCGGGGAACUCCACAACAAAAUGGAGUUGCAGAAAGAUUGAAUCGAACCUUGCUUGAGAAGGUUAGAUGUAUGUUGUCUCAGUCGGGUUUAAGCAAGUCAUUUUGGGCAGAGGCAGUUAAUUAUGCAUGUCACAUCUCAACCGGUUACCCUCAGCUGCUGUUCAGGGUAAGACACCAAUGGAGGUAUGGACUGGAAAACCUUCUUCUGAUUAUGACUAUAUCCGUAUUUUUGGUUCACCUGCUUAUUUUCAUGUAACUGAAAAUAAACUUGAUCCAAGAGCCAAAAAGGCUAUCUUUCUUGGUUUUAGUAGUGGUGUCAAAGGUUACAGGUUGUGGUGUCCAGAGAUGAAAAAACUUGUAAUCAGCAGAGAUGUGACAUUUGAUGAAGAAAGUAUGUACAAAGUCUCUGAGAAGAAUGUGAAAGAUGUCCAACAGGUGGAGCUUGAGAAAGUUGCCUCUGAUACUUCAAAUCCUAUUUCCGCUGAUGUCGAAGCCACUACAAGUGAAGAAGUUGGAGACCAUGAGAAUGUUGAAGAAGUUGAACUUGAAGAUUCUAUUCAAGUUGAAGAGCAAGUUUCACCUCAAGAGUCUAUUGCUAAGAACAGAGGAAAAAGACAAAUUACCAAGCCAGCUCGGUACAGUGACUAUGUUGCUUUUGCUCUUCCUAUUAUCACUGAUGAGAUUCCAUCCAAUUUUGAGGAAGCUAUUGAGAGUGAGGAGAAGAAAAGGUGGUGCAAUGCCAUGGGUGAUGAAAUGAAUUCUCUCUUGAAGAACAAGACUUGGGAGUUAGCUAAAUUGCCUAAGGGCAAGAAAGCUAUCGGUUGCAAAUGGGUGUAUGCCAAGAAGGAAGAUGCUGAUGAGAAAAGCAAUGUGAGAUUUAAAGCAAGAUUAGUUGCUAAAGGGUAUGCACAAAAGGAGGGCAUUGACUACAAUGAAAUAUUUUCUCCAGUUGUGAAGCGCUCCUCAAUUCGUAUUAUGUUAGCUCUUGUUGCACAAUAUGAUCUUGAGCUUGUGCAACUUGAUGUGAAGACGGCUUUCCUACAUGGUGAUUUGAAUGAAGAGAUCUAUAUGUGUCAACCGGAUGGGUAUUGUGAAAGGGAAGGAAAAUUUGUUUUGCAAAUUGAAGAAAUCGCUUUAUGGCUUGAAGCAAUCUCCAAGGCAAUGGUAUUUGAGGUUUGAUAAAUUUAUGAGAGGCCAAAAUUAUUCUAGAAGUCAAUAUGAUCAUUGUGUGUACUUCAAGAAGUUGCAAGAUGGGUCUUUCAUUUAUUUAUUGAUAUAUGUUGAUGAUAUGUUGAUUGCCUCAAAGAAUGUUGAGGAGAUUGAGAAAUUGAAGAAACAAAUGAAGAAUGAGUUUGAGAUGAAGGAUCUUGGUGAAGCAAAUCCUUGGCAUGGAGAUCACUAGAGAUAGAGAGAAGGGUUUGGUCAGUUUGAAUCAAAGACAAUACCUUGAGAAGUUGAUUCGGAAGUUUGGAGUUCAUGAUUCAACCAAACCGGUUAGUACCCCUUUGGCUCCUCAUUUUAAAUUGAGUUCUCUACAGUGUCCUAAAACUGAUAAAGAGAAGCUGCAAAUGAAAAAUAUACCAUAUGCAAAUUUGGUUGGUAGUUUGAUGUAUGCAAUGGUAUGCUCUAGACCGGAUAUUGCUCAUGCAGUUGGCAUGGUGAGUCGAUAUAUGCAUAAUCCAGGUAAAGAGCACUGGCAAGCAGCUAAGUGGAUAUUGAGAUAUCUCCAUGGUACUCGAGAUGUUGGUUUAUGCUUUGAGAGAGAUGACUCUGGUAUUGGUCAUUUUGCAGUUGGUUAUGUUGAUUCAGAUUAUGCAGGUGAUCUGGAUGGAAGGAAGUCUACUACAGGCUAUGUGUUUACUAUGGCUAAAGGACCAGUUUGUUGGAGGUCCAUUUUGCAGUCGUCUGUUGCCUUGUCUACUACAGAGGCUGAAUAUAUGGCAGUUGCUGAAGCUAUAAAGGAGGCCAUUUGGAUACAUGGGCUGAUUAGAGAUUUGGGGGUUGAUCAGAAGCAGGUGGAGGUACAUUGUGAUAGUCAGAGUGCCAUUUAUUUGGCUAAGUAUCAGGUUCAUCAUGCGAGGACCAAGCACAUAGAUGUGCGUUAUCACUUUGUUCGUGAAAUUGUUGGUGAAGGGGAAAUCAUUCUCCAGAAGAUUCCAACUAAAGACAACCCCGCUGAUAUGUUGACUAAGGUUGUUGGUGUAGCCAAGUUUGUUCACUGUUUGAACUUGGCUCACAUUAUGCCUAUAUAAAGAAGGCGUUGAGCAGUAGGAGUUUUGGAGCAUUUGGCUCGGCAUGAGUUGUUCUCUUGCUAGUGUUCGGGAGUGAUGUUGUGUGCUAAUUGUGUUGGUUGGCUUAUCAUGGCGUUUUCGGAACUUGGCCAAGGUGGAGAUUGUUAAAUUGUGGCCAAGUGGCCAUCACCUUUUGUAUUAAACAAAUAAAAAGAAAAAAAAAAGGGGAGACAUCAUGAUGUUGUUUCUUACUUUGUGAUGAUGACAAAUGAUGAUGUUGGAGAAUUAUUUUUUCUUUGGCCCAUGUGGGAAGUCACGGGGUGACUUGAAGGAUUUAUUUAGCAGCAAUUGCUGCUUGUGUGGUUAAGAGAAGAAAACAGAGAGCAGAAGAAAAAGGAAAGAGAGCUGCCGAGAGCAAGAGAGUUGCAGAGAGCCCAAACAGAAAAAGAAGCUGCUGCUUCAUUUGAUUAGUAAUCAUCAACCAAAGUAGUUGUUGUUGUAAUAGCUUUGAGCUAUAUGUAUAGAGAAUAAAUUAUUCAUUAUAUUUCUUUCUCUAUUUGUUUCUUUGGUGUGUGAGAGUUAUUGGGUGUAUUGGGCUUUUGGGUUGUGAGAUUGUCAACACUUUGUAAACUCCCAUUUGGUUGAUAGUGGAUUAUUGGGUGAGCUCCUACUGCUCCGAGGACGUACUCCAGUUACACUGACUGUUGAGGAACCUCGUUAAAAUCUUGGUGUUCUUUUAUAUUUUGUUCUUGCAUUUUCAUUUGAUAAAAUUUCCUGUGGGUUAGCUUGAGUUGGUUCCAACGGGUUUGGUGCUAUCCUAGCACAACAUUUAUUAUUAUUGCUAUAAACACACGGAUUACAGCGAAAUUCAAAAACUAAAAAUAAGGAAAAAAGUAGUGAUGAAAACCAAUGCCACUUUCGCGGGAACACGAUUGAAUUCGCACAUGCAACAAGCCUUUUAAACCCAUAGGUGACCCAAAUGGGACGAGUGAAGUCUCGUGAGGGUUUCCAGAGACGUUACCCACAAACAUCAUGCAUACUGAUCAUCAACAUCUGCCUUGGGAGACUGAGUAGAUAUCCACCCCUCCAGCAUCAGGUUGUUUUUGGUUGAGGCGUAAUUCGAAUCUGUUUUCAAUGAACGGCCUGGUUAUGAGAUCACUUUGCAAGUGACGUAAUCGGCAGCGCGUGAUUAGGUUGUUGCUGUCAGGUGGUCCGACAGGCUCGACCUUGAACAAUGUGCAAGCCCAAUUGUCUUUGGUUUCAUUUCGGUCAGCAGCUGCGGCCAGGACCAACAGCCUGUUUUGGUCCACCCUUCUCAAGUAGUUACCAUUGUAGGAGCAUUUGAUAUGCACGUAAUUCUUGUCAGCGUAGUCCUCAUUGUUUGGCUUCUCGGUGGUGAACUUUAUGAACCUGCUGUUUUCAUUGUCCUCGGAAAACUGGACAAUCUCAUUAAGGUCGCUUUCUGCAUCAAGUUGAUAGCGCAAAUACUUGUUGUUGAUAUCUGCUUUCAGCAAAAAAGGGCUUGGUAGUACAGGUGGAGCCAUAUCGUAUAGUGUAGUUGGGAUUGGGAUGCUCUCUCUUUUUUAUUCUCUGUUGAUGAUCUAAUUUGCUUGCUGUGAAUGUGAUGCUUAGUUCAAACCUGCUAUCCUAUUUAUAAGAAAUUAAGCACAAGCUAACUCAAGUUAUGGUCUUUAAUUAAUAUUAAUUUCGACAAAUCAGUUUCCCAUCUCUUUCAUUGAUAUGAACAUGGCUGAUCUCAUUGGUGUGGCGCAAUAUUUGUUAAAUUAGCCGUUCGGGUUGAUUUCUUUGUAUAACUCAUCUGCCAAUUCUACAACUUGUAGACUUACUUCCCAUUACAAAAUAAAAAAUAAAAUAAAAUCCGAAACUAAUGUAAGAUAAAUAAAGACUUUUUAUGUCAUAAAAUAAGACUUUCUAACUUGUAUACACGACUAUAGUGACAAGAUCAAACACAUUGAUGGGUGCGCAUUUUCCAUCAACAUCUGUUCUGUGCGUUUAAACUGAGCGUGAAGUCUUUUUUAGCAAUUAAAAGUUUUGUAUGAUGUAAUUGUCUUGGUUUGAUAAGACCUACAUCUAGAUGAGUUGCUUCUGAAGACUAAUGUAAAACUUUAUGUUGAUAUUUCUUGAGGGUGAAACAUCGUUUGAGAAACGUUUUGGGCCUCAUUACAAUUUUUUCAUUUAUUUUUUAACUUUUGGUUUAAAUAUUCUACAAUAAAUACAUUUGUGGCUUUAAUAACUAGUAAAACCACUUUCAAAUAUCUUAGUAUCGGCUUCAGAACAAAGGGGUUUGGUAGUACAGGUGGAGCCAUGUUGUAUAGUGUAGCUGGGAUUGGGAUGAUCUCUCUCUUUAUUUAUUUAUUUAUUUUCUUUAAUUUGCUCGCUUUCAAUGUGAUGCUCAGUUCAAACCUACCAUCCUAUUUCUAAGAAAUUAAGCACAAGCUAUCUCAAGUUAUGGUCUUUAAUUAAUAUUAAUUUCCUCAAUCUGUUUCCCAUAUCUUUCAUUGAUACGAACAUGGCUGAUCUCAUUGGUGUGACGCAAGAUUUGUUAAAAUAGCUGAUCGGAUUGAUUUUUUCUUUGUAUAACUCUUCUGCCAAUUCUGAAAUUGUACAUAUAAUUCCCAUUAUAAAAUAAAUAAAUAAAAUCCAAAACUCAUAUAAAAUAAAUAGAGACUUUUGAUAGCAUAUAAAAUAAGACUUUGAAACUUGUACAUAGUUACGGAUAACAUUCAUCUAAGAAUUAACAGAUGAAUGUAUGCAAGCAAUAUCGAAGAAAUACAGAGAGAAAGAUCGAAAGGAAUAGAGAGAGAAAUAGAGAAAGAAAUGAGUGAAAGCUUUGUUAUUUCAUAAGAACAAAAGAUCAUCACAAAAGAACCCUGAUUCCUUCUUAUAUAGUCUGCACAUGUAGCUUAUCAGCUAAGCGUGUAACUAAUUCUUAACAAACUAACUAACUCCAAUAUCUGAUAUUUCACUUAUGAUGAUGUGUCAAUCACUAUAUAUCUUCAACAUCCCCCACAAUCUCAACUGGGAUUUUCCAGCUUGAGAUUGUAAAAAUGUUUGACAAAUGAAGGACUGUGAAGACCUUUGGUAAGAACAUCGGCAGUUUGCUCCUCAGUUGGGAUAUACAACACCUCCAAAUCGCCUUGCUGCACUCGUUCUCAGUUUAUAUCAAGGUGUUUAAUUCUGAAAUGAAACACCAGAUUGGCACUUAAGGCAAUAGCGGACAUAUUCUUACAGUGAAUCGUUGGUGGAGCAUCCAAAAAUACACCCAAAUCCUUCAAUAUAUUUCGAAUUCAAGCUAUAUGUGCCGCAGUAUGUGCUAAGGCUUUAUAUUCAGCCUCAGUAGAACUCCUGGAUACCGAGUUUUCUUUCUUCGAUUGCCAAGAAAUUGGAUUAUUGCCUAAGUACACGACAUAACUAGUGAUAGACCGACGAGUAUUCAAGUAUGCAGCCCAAUCAGAAUCAGAAAACGCAGUAAGCUUUGAAACUGUGUUUACAGAAAAAGUAAUACCAAUGUUCAUGGUUCCUUGAAGAUAACGAAUGAUUCGUUUAACAACGCCAAAAUGAACAUCAGUUGGUGAGGACAUAAACUGACAUACUGUGUUUACAGCAAAGGCAAUAUCAGGCCUAGUAAAGGUUAGAUAUUGUAAAGAUCCCACAAUGCUUCUGUAGGAGGUUGGAUCUGUCAAUAAUUGUCCCUUAGAGUGUAACAUUUGAUGAUGAGGUUUACAAGGAGUGGUUGCUGGUUUACAUGAUUCCAUACCUGCUUUAUGGACGAGAUCUUUGAUAUACUUAGACUGAUUAACAAAAACACUGCCAUCUGCUUUAUAUUGAACUUGUAAACCCAAAAAAUAUGUAAGUUGUCCCAUAUCCUUUAACUCGAAUACCUCAGAUAAUUAUUGAAUCACUUUUUGGAUCUUCAAAGGAUUAUAACCAAUUAAGAUGAUAUCAUCAACAUAAAGUAAUAAGAUGAUGAUAUCAGAGUCAUCCUUCUUGACAAACAAACUUGUAUCAGAAGUUGAUGCAUGAAACUCCAUAACUGUCAAAUAACUUGUAAACUUCGAAUUCCACGCUCGUGGAGCUUGUUUCAAGCCAUAUAAUGACUUGACCAAUUUGCAAACAUGAGAAGGAUAUGAUAGAUCAAUAAACCCUUGUGGUUGCUGCAUAUAAACUUCUUCUUGUAAAUCUCCAUGUAGAAAAGCGUUAUUGAUAUCUAAUUGGUGAAGAGUCCAAUUAUUCAUUGCAGCUAAAGAAAGAAUAAUCCUUACAGUAGUAUGUCGGACAACAGGACUAAAUGUGUCCAAGUAGUUAAUACCAUGUUCUUGGGAGAACCCCUGAGCUACAAGCCUUGCUUUAUACCUGGAGACACUGCCAUCGGGGUUUUUCUUCACUUUGUAUACCCAUUUGCUUCCUACAAUUGUUCUAUCUUCAGGUGCAGGAACCAAUAGCCAAGUUCCUUGUGCUCGAAGUGAAUCAUAUUUCUCCUGCAUUGCCUUUUGCCACUGUGAAAUUGUAGGAGCUUUCCGAAAUGUCUUAGGUUCUGAAGCAUCAGUGAUCUCAGAAAGAAAGGAAUAGCCACUUGUGAAAGGUUCUUCAUCAAUGAUUUGGAGUGAACAAAGCUCAGGACAUUGUGUUACUAAAGCAGCAUAAUUUUGUCUCUCAAUUGUUCCACUCUUCAAUCUAGUGACCAUUGAGUGAGUCGAUGGUGCAGUAUGUAAAAUGAGAUCAGAUAGAGAUAAAUCAGCAAGGAUUACCUCAAGUUGUGACUCGGAGUGGACAGGCAACAAGGAUUGUGUACCAGAGUGAUGAUGUGUAGGAGAGUGAUGAUGUGAAGAGCUUGGAGAUGCAUAUAAAUGAGUGGUAUCAGUCGAAUUUGUAUCUUGAUCACUAGGUUGAAUCACCUGUGUAUUGUUCGAACUAGAAACAUUCAAUUAACCAACCACAUUUAUACUUUCACCAUUUGCAGGAAUACUGUGAUGCGAACCAGUAUCAUUUGCUAAUAUAUGUAUAGAACUAGCUGCUUGUGAAUCAUGCUGUAUUUAUGUAUGAGGCAGGACUCUUGCACUUGGAACUUGUAAUUGAAUCAAAACAUGUGUCUGAGAACACCUAUAUGUAACUGUAGAAUCCUUAGAUGGCAGAACUUGUUUAAACGGAUAAACAUCUUCAUCAUGUAGUACAUGCCUUGACAUAAUGAACUUUCUAGUCUUGAUAUCAUAGCUAAUAACUCCUUUAUAUCCAUGAGCAAAACGAAGAAAUACACAUUGAGCUGACCGUGGCUCCAAUUUGUUCUUAUUGAAUGGUCUCAAUAGAGGAUAUAUUGCAGUACCAAAGACUUUAAGAUGUUGUACUUCAGGAACACAACCAAACACAACUUGAUAGGGAGAUUUCAUCUUCAAAUUUCUAGAUGGCAUCGUAUUGAUUAAGAAUGCAACAUGAGAACAAGCAUGAUACCAGAAAGCUGAAGGUAAUUGAGCAUCUAAUAGCAAACUAAUAGCAGUCUCAACUAAAUGUCUAUGUUUUCGUGUAGCAAGACCAUUUUGCUGUGGUGUAUGAGAGCAUGAAACUGGUGUAUAAUUCCUUUUAUCUCUAACAACUGUCUAAACACAUUACUCAUAUAUUCACCUCCACCAUUUGAUUGAAGAACUUUAACGGAAGCAUUAAACUGAUUCUCAAUAAAUGUCAGAGACUUGGUAAAGAUUGGAAAAGCAUCGGAUUUAUUAACCAUCGGAAAAAUCCAUACAAAUCAAGAGCAGUCAUCUACAAAGCUUAUGUAAUACCUAUAACCCUCUAUUAACCUCUGCAGUGAAGGACCCCAUAUAUCUGAAUGUAUCCUUUCAAAUACAACUUUUGACCUAUCGGGACUUACAGAGAAAGGCAACUUAGUCAUUUUUCCUUGAAUACAAGCAGUACAUAUAGAUGGAGACAAAUCUAUACUGGCUAAUACUUCAGACUUAUUCAACAUUGUAGUAAGCACUUCUUCAGAUGGAUGACCCAACCUUUUAUGCCAAACUGUAGUCUUUAGCUUCUUUCCAACAAAAGUUGCACAUCUUUCAAUACUUGGUACUCUGGAUCUUGACAACACUGUUAUUGGUAUCUUGAAGAGCUCCCCAUCAUCACUCUGGCCUUGGUACACAAUCCUUCGAGUUGCUUUGUCCUGUAUCAAGAAGAUCAGAUCAUCACAUACAAACCAGCAAUUAUUAUCUCUGCAUAAGUUCUUAACAGACAACAAAUUCAUUGUAAUGUGUAGAACAUGUAGCACAUUUUGCAGAAUUAAUGACUUUUGUUGAGUGUUAAGGACAGAGGAACCAAUAUUUUUAACCACCAAACCUUCUUCAUUACCAACAGUGAUCAUGGCAUCACCAUUAUAAGGAGUGAUAUAAUUUAAAACUUCGACAUUUGAUGUCAUGUGGUGAGUUGCACCUAUGUCAACUACCUAUGUAUCAGCAGCUAAAAAACCAUGGACAUUUGAGUCUUCAGUUGCAACAUUUGAGCCUUGAGCAGCCAUCCCAACAAGAGAUGUAGGUGGUGCACUGCCUUGAUAUGAGAAGUUAUUCCUAUGAAAGCAUUCCAAAGCCCGAUGACCUAUUUUCCCACAUAUCUGACAUACCAAGAUCCCUCCAGAUGAUUGAUUGUUAUCAGCUCUAAGGUAACAAUUUGGUGUUGUAUGGUCUCUUCUAGAACAAAUUUGACAUUCAGGAGAUAUAACAUUGCUGUAAUUUGUAUCACCAUUCCAAGUGUUUCCUUGUUUGCUUCCAUUACCAGAGAAAGAACUUUGAGAACCUCCAUUUGAACAUCUUUCCCAUUAUUCCCAAAAGUAGAAUAUGGCCUGUAAUUAUUAUUCCCACCAUUAUAACCACCAGAGAAUUUUCGAUUGUUCAAAUUAUUCCCAUUAUACCUCCUAUUAUUGUUACCACCAUUGUAAUUAUUCCUCCCUUGAGACCUCUAUGCAUUUGAACUCUCCCCUUGUUCAUAACUUUGAGUAUUGCCCUGAGAUUCCUGUGUAUUCGAGCCAUUGCCCUGAACAUACAUGGCAGCCAUAGAACUUGAUAAAGUUGUCAGUCUAGACUCAAUACUGCUUUCAGCCCUAAUUAGUUGAGCUCGAAAAUCUUUCAUUGAAAUCGGAGUGUCUCUUGCUAAGAUUACUGUCUUGAUCAUUUCAAAUUAUGGAGGUAAACUAGUUAAAGCAAUGACCAAAUCAUUCUCAGUGAUUUUCUCCCCUGCAGCAACCAGUUGAUCCUUGAUAAUCUUCAAUCGAAGCAAAUACUUGUCAACAUAAUCCGCACCUUUCUGUGUAGUAUGAAACUCAGUCUUGAGUUGAUUAACCCUGACAACAGAUACAGACGCAUAUCAUUCCUGUAAAGAUUUCCAAGCUUCUUGAGAAGUUUUACACCCAAUGACAUAGCCCAUAGCUUCAUCUGAAAGUGUAGCAAUCAGCAAACUCAAUAGAGAGACAUCUGUUUUAACCCAAUCUUUAUAUGCAGUAGUAAUUUCUUUAGUGACCCCAGUCUCAGUAUUGAUGACAAACUUUGGAGGACAUUGAGACUCCCCACUAAAGAAAUCAAAGAAAUCGUACCCCUUAAGCACCGACUGAAACUGAUAAUCCCAUUUGACAAAAUUAUCUUCUUUCAACUUAGCAGUGAUCAUGCCCAAAAGACUUUCAAUUUUCACAGAACUAAACACCAUAUUGUUGAUAGAAACUGAAUCAAGAAAUCAAGUACUCAAACAAUCUUCAAGAAUUAUAACAACUCCAAGAACACACACUACUGAUUAUCGGCCUUGUUCGUGUGAAAAACCCAACAAACACUCAAACAACAGCAAUGGCUAUCGGCCUUUAUGCUUUGACAGAAAACGUUUCAACAAUCAUUCAAUUAGAAAAAUGGCUAUCGGCCUUCAAUAUCAUACUCCAAACAUCAAGAAAUGGCUAUCGGCCUUCAAUAUCAUACUCCAAACAUCAAGAACUUGCUAUCGCCCUUCAACUUUCAGUCUUUCACAAAAGAUUCAUCAUUGCGACAAUUACACAAACACUUAGAGUGCAAAAAGAAAAAUAACACCUAAAAAACUCAAAGUCUAACUUCCCAAACGCCAAAAGCUCAUUAACCCACUAUACCACUUCACAGCAAUCAAGAUAAUCUUUUGGCACAGCACAGCGGAAAUACACACCACGAGAUCGAACACUUGGCGAAGAUACCAUGAUAACAUUCAUCUAAGAACUAACAGAUGAAUGUAUGCAAGCAAUAUCGAAGAAAUGCAGAGAGAAAGAUCGAAAGGAAUAGAGAGAGAAAUAGAGAAAGAAAUGAGUGAAAGUUUUGUUAUUUCAUAAGAACAAAAGAUCAUUACAAAAGAACCCUAAUUCCUUCUUAUAUAGUCUGCACAUUUAGCUUAUCAGCUAAGCCACCUGUGUAACUAAUUCUUAACAAACUAACUAACUUCAAUAGCUGAUAUGGCACUUAUGAUGAUGUGUCAAUCACUAUAUAUCUUCAACAGUUACAAGAUCGAACACAUUGAUGGGUUAUAUAUUUGGGGCUCACUACAAUUUUUUUCACUUAAUUUAGGUUUUGGCUUAAAUAUACCAUUCAAACUAAAUGUGUGGCUCAAUAAUUGGUAGAAACCUUUCCAAAUGCUUUAUAAAUGUUCUCUUAAUGAUAACGGAGAAUAUUUUGGGAAGACAACUUAUUUGAAUUUCUCACGAAAAUGUGGGUGCUCAUUAAUUUUAGUCGGCUUGGCAAUUUUGUAUAAAAAUCAUCAUUAAAUAUAGUAGUUUUCACCUUUGCCUCACCGCUAUAUUUCUAAAAGUAAUGUAAGACUUUCAGCCUUUGUUCAUUAGUGAGGAUCUUAUCAAGAUAGAGCAGCCAUAAGAAACUCUUAACUUUGGAGGAAUAUGAAGUUUCCAAAUGAGAUUCCAUCGCCAAUUAGGUAAAGCACUAGGCCUAAUGGCCCAAAAAUAUGCAGAUUUAACUGAAAAAUUACCAUCAUUUAUUCCACUUCAGAUACACUUGGCAGUCAAAGCAUCAAAACUAAUUUGAAUGCUAAGAAUUUGUUCAACCACCUCUUUAGUAAAACAAGUAAUAGUGGAUCAUGUAUUUGUCUUGGUUUGAUAAGACCUACAUCUAGAUGAGUUGCUUCUUAAGACUAAUGUAAAACUUUAUGUUGAUAUUUCUUGAGGGUGAAACAUCGUUUGAGAAACGAUUUGGGCCUCAUUACAAUUUUUUCAUUUAGUUUUUAACUUUUGGUUUAAAUAUUCUACUAUAAAUACAUUUGUGGCUUUAAUAACUAGUAAAACCACUUUCAAAUAUCUUAGUAUCGGCUUUCAGAACAAAGGGGUUUGGUAGUACAGGAGCCAUGUUGUAUAGUGUAGCUGGGAUUGGGAUGAUCUCUCUCUCUUUUUUGUUUUUUUGUUUUCCUUUAGUUUGCUUGCUUUGAAUGUGAUGCUCAGUUCAAACCUACCAUCCUAUUUCUAAGAAAUUAAGCACAAGCUAUCUCAAGUUAUGGUCUUUAAUUAAUAUUAAUUUCCUCAAUCAGUUUCCCAUAUCUUUCAUUGAUACGAACAUGGCUGAUCUCAUUGGUGUGACGCAAGAUUUGUUAAAAUAGCUGAUCGGAUUGAUUUUUUCUUUGUAUAACUCUUCUGCCAAUUCUGAACUUGUACAUAUAAUUCCCAUUAUAAGAUAAAUAAAUAAAAUCCAAAACUCAUAUAAAAAAAAUAGAGACUUUUUAUAGCAUAUAAAAUAAGACUUUGUAACUUGUACAUAGUUACAAGAUCGAACAAAUUGAUGGAUUAUAUAUUUGGGGCUCACUACAACUUUUUUUCACUUAAUUUUAGGUUGUGGCUUAAAUAUACCAUUCAAACUAAAUGUGUGGCUCAUUAAUUGGUAGAAACCUUUCCAAAUGCUUUAUAAAUGUUCUCUUAAUGCUAACGGAGAAUAUUUUGGGAAGACAAAAUAUUUGCAUUUCUUACGAAAAUGUGGGUGCUCAUUAAUUUUAAUUGGUUUUGCAAUUUUGUAUAAAAUCAUCAUUAAAUAUAGUAGUUUUCAUCUUUGCCUCACCGCUAUAUUUCUAAAAGUAGUGUAAGAUUUUCAGCCUUUGUUCAUUAGUGAGGAUCUUAUCAAGAUAGAGCAGCCAUAAGAAACUCUUAACUUUGGAGGAAUAUGAAGUUUCCAAAUGAGAUUCCAUCGCCAAUUAGGAAAAGCACAAGGCCUAAUGGCCCAAAAAUAAGCAGAUUUAACUGAAAAAUUACCUUAAUUUAUUCCACUUCAGAUACACUUGGCAGUCAAAGCAUCAAAACUAACUAAUUGGAAUGCUAAGAAUUUGUUCAACCACCUCUUUAGUAAAACAAGUAAUAGUGGAUCCAAACCAUUAUUGUAACAAUAAUUAGCUACAGUAGCCUUAUACGUAUUGUCCGUGUCACCACCCGAUCCCGAUACACGUCCAGGAUCGACAUGUGAUGUCAUCAAAUACCCAUAUCUCUAACUUACCCCGCCUCCGGGAUAUGGCAAAGUGAUGAGUCAAUAUUUUACCAUAUAUUUUACCCUAAUCUUAGUAUUAAUUUAUUGGUUAUUUUGGUAGAAUUUUGAUACUUUGUUAUAUAUUUCUAAUAUAGGACAUUCGACUUCAUCUGGACAAAAAAGUAACCAAACGGAUGAAUUUUGGAGUGAUUCCAAUUGGAGGAUGUUCGUGAGUCUUUUGAAAUGAUUAUAUCAAAAUUCCAGAUUUUUCUACCAAGCCGUUUGACCAUGGCGAUUAAGUUAAGGCCCAGCGCGCAGUUUUCUCAUAUUGACAUUUCUGGACGUUUUUUGUAUUUUGAAGAUCAAUAUGUCAUAUUUUGAGGAAGCUUUCUUCUGAGGAUUUGUAUGGGACAUCUCCAGCUUUCAAAAGAGACCUUUUGGGACCAAAUCGGAGUUGAUUUGGGUGGUCAGAAGUCUGAUUUUCUGAGAACUCCAAAUUCUUGUUCAAAUAGGAAACCUUUUAUUUUCUGUUUUAUUAUUUUAGUAUGUUUCAUAGUUUUAUUCUAAGACCUUUUAGGGUUUUAUUUUGUAUUAGUAUAAAUAAGAUAUUUAGCCAUUAGGGGAAAAGAGGAGAGAAUAGGAGGAGAACGCACACAGUACUUGGAGGAUUCAAGUUUAUUUUCAAGGUGUUUUAUAUCCAUGUUCUUAAUAAUAUUUUGUUUUAUGGUUGUUAGUAACUAGUUUCGUUUGCUAGGGCGAGGCCACGAUCCUUAGCAAGAAUAUGUAGUUUCUUUUCAAUCUGCUUAUGAUAUUAUGCAUGCAAGUUUUGAAUUAUUAAUCAUUGUGCUUUAAACUAUCUAAUUGUGUUGAUGAUUGGCCGCCAUUAGGAUAUUUAGAAAAGUAAUUUGAUGCAAUUUUGGCGGAGGGCUGUCCCUGGAAUUGGCGCUGGCUUCUUGUGGUUAAUAUGUGUAACUUCUUAGGAUGGACGACAUGUCUUAAGGGUUAUAUGGUUUUUCAAAAGGAUUUCACAAAACUUUAUGAGUUUUACAUGUUCACGUUUGAUCUGGACACCACAGAUGGGUUGCACGUUAAAUAUAGAUUCUAUGUUGGAGGUUCCAAGUAGGGCAUACUUUAGGAAAACCUAAUUAACCAUCAAAAUAUGCAUGUGUAUUUCAUAAGUAAUUGGAAGAACUAUAUAGGAUUGUUAAGGUGAUGGUGAAACCCUAGUGCUUAACUUUUUUCUUUGGUUUUCUUUACUUUCCCAAUUUAUAGUGGAUCCAAACCAUUAUUGUAACAAUACUUAGCUACAGUAGCCUUAAGUGUAUUAUCGGUGUCACGCACCGAUCCCGACAUACGUCUAGGAUCGACACGUGAUGUCACCAAAUACCCAUAUCUCCAACUUACUCUGCCUCUGGGAUAUGGCAAAGUGAUGAGUCAAUAUUUUACCAUAUAUUUUACCCUAAUCUCAGUUUGUUGGUUAUUUUGGAAGAAUUUUGAUGCUUUGUUAUAUAUUUCUAAUGUAGGAUAUUCGACAUCCUCGGGGGAAAAAAAGUAACCAAACAGAUGAAUUCUGGAGUGAUUCCAAUUGGAGAAUGUUCGUGAGUCUUUCAAGAUGAUUGUAUCAAAAUUCCAGAUUUUACUAUCAAGCUGUUUGAUCGUGGCGAUGAAAUUAAGGCCCACCGCGUAGCUUUCCCAGAUUGACGUUUCUGGACGUUUUUGGUAUUUUGAAGGUCAAGAUGUUAUAUUUAGAGGAAGAUUCCUUCUGAGGAUUUGUAUGGGACGUCUCCAGCUUUCAAAAGAGACCUUUUGGGACAAAAUCGGAGUUGAUUUGGUUGGUCAAAAGUCUGAUUGUCUGAUAACUCCGAAUUCUAGUUCAAAUAGGAAACCUUUUAUUUUCUGUUUUAUUAUUUUAUUAUGUUUCCUAGUUUUAUUCUAAGACCUUUUAGGGUUUUAUUUUGUAUUAGUAUAAAUAAGAUGUUUAGCCAUCAGGGUAAAAGAGGAGGAGAGAAAAAGAGGAGAACGCACAUAGUACUUUGGAGGAUUCAAGUUUAUUUUCAAGGUGUUUUCUUUCCAUGUUCUUAAUAAUAUUUUGUUUUAUGGUUGUUAGUAACUAGUUUCGUUUGCUAGGGCGAGGCCACGAGCCUUAGUGAGAAUAUGUAGUUUCUUUUCAAUUUGCUUAUGAUAUAUAUUAUGCAUGCAAGUUUUGAAUUAUUAAUCACUAUGCUUUAAACUAUCUAAUUGUCUUGAUGAUUGGCCACCAUUAGGAUAUUUAAAAAGGUAAUUUGAUGCAAUUUUGGUGGCGGGAUGUCCCUGGAAUUGGUGCUGGCUUCUUGUGGUUAAUAUGUGUAACUUCUUAGGAUGGACAACACGUCUUAAGGGUUAUAUGGUUUUUCAGAAGGAUUUCACAAAACUUAAUGAGUCUUGCAUGUUCACAUUCGAUCUGGACACCACAGACGGGCUGCAUGUUAGAUAUACGUUUUAUGUUGGAGGUUCCAAGUAAGGCAUACUUUAGGAAAACCAAACCUUCAAAAUAUGCAUGUGUAAUUCAUAAGUAAUUGGAAGAACUACGUAGGAUUGUUAAGGUGACGGCGAAACCCUAGUGCUUAAAUUUAUUUUCAAAAACUAUUUUCUUUGCUUUUCUUUACUUUCCCAAUUUAUUUAAUUGUUUUUAGUUCAAUUGGUUUUUAAUAUUUUAGGCCAUAAAACCAACCUCUUCUAGACUUUAUUUUCAAAUAAUUAAUUAAGAUUUGGUUUUAACAUAAAUUAUGGCUUUUUUUAUUAGCACCUCCUAAAAUGUUGAAUGCACCCCACAUUAAAAUUUAAUAUUAAAUGACUUAUUUACCCCACUAUGCAAUGACAAUUUUGACCUUAUUAGGUUUUAAAAAAAUAAAAUAAAAAUCUCUAAAUACACCCCAAAUCACUAAACCCUAUUAUUUAUCUUCUCAACUAUCAAAACCCUCUUACCCUCCAUUGUUGAACAAAACCCUAACCAAUGAAACUACAAACAUCUUGAUUGAGAAAAAUUGCUUUUGACGAAUGGAACACAAAAUCAAUGUUUCGGAGCCUUCACAUGAGGUAAGACUAUGUUUCAUCGGUGGUUUGGUUAAUUUCAUAUUCCUUUUUUUUUUCUUCCAUUGGUUAUUCAUUUUCUUCUUUGCAGGUUACAAAUCCAGCCAGUGAUCCUCUUAGAGUAGAUUUGGUUAUAUCCCUUGAAAUGAACAUUGGAGAGCGACAAAAUAUUUUGGAGGUUGGACCAGAAAAUGCAUCGCAGGUUUGUUGGCAUGUACCACUCUGCCUAUUGAUAUUGAGUUGUAUGGUUCUUAAAAUAAUUGAGGUGUAUGAUUCUUAGUAAAUAAAUGAGGAUUUGAUAAUAAUUUUUGGUGUAUUUAAAUACGAUAGCAUACAAGGCAAUACCUCUAUAGGGGACAAUGAGGUUGCAGCAACGAGCGUCGUUGAUCACACAAACGCAUUUAAAACAAACGAGGUAACUAUUUUUAGUAUAUUGAAUGUGCAUCUGUGAAUUUCAUGGAAAUUCUUGCAUUCUUUUAUUCAGCAUAGUGCAUUAGGUUCAUAAUAGGGAAUAACAUAUGGGUUGGAAUCUUAGCAUGUCUACAAACAUUUUGUUAGUGGCAAAUGGCAAUGAUCUUGUAUGUACAGGUGUUCAAAAGUAAAAAUGAUUUCCUUGAUUGGACUCGCGCACAAGGAAAAAAGAAUAAUAUGGUUAUUAUCAUUAAGAGGUAUGAUGCGGGAAAGGUUGACCGAAGGAGGAAGAGAGCUCGAAUAACAUUUGCUUGUGAGAGACAUGGCGAGUAUCGAUCCAUAUUGAGGAAGUCGGAUAUUAAUGACCAAAUUUCUGAUGCAAAUAAUAAGAAGAAUAAAGAACCCAGGAAUACUGGUACUAAAAAAUGCGGAUGUCCAUUUAUGUUGAAAAGAGUCAACGUUGGAGAAGGAGAUGAAUUGAAAUUGGAGGUUGAGUGUGGGGUGCAUAACCAUACUUAUUCACAGUAUCUUGAAGGGCAUUCUUUUGUCGGACGAUUAACUAAAGAGCAAAAUGAACUUUUAGUUGACAUGUCUACAAGUUUAGUGAGACCCAAAGUUAUUUUGAACACCAUAAAGAAAAAAGAUCCACUUAAUGUAACAACGAUGAGGACAAUAUACAAUGCAAGACACUAUCAUCGGACAAAAGAAAAAGCAGGGAGAUCAGAAAUGCAACAGUUGUUAUGUAAGUUGGUUGAGUACAACUAUAUUGAGCAUCAUCGAAGUAUUGGUGUUGAUAAUGCUGUUAGUGACUUGUUUUGGACUCACCCAAUUAAUGUCGAUACCUUACAUUGUUUCCCACAUGCACUUAUCAUGGAUUGCACGUACAAGACUAAUAGGCAUCGUUUUCCACUCCUGGAGAUUGUAGGGGUAACUUCAACUAGUAUUACAUUUUCGGUUACAUUUGCUUUCAUUGACCAUGAGAAGGAAGACAAUUACACAUGGGCAUUGACAAGAUUGAAGACUCUAAUGAAUGAUGAUUGUAUUUCUGGUGUGAUUGUCACUAAUCGAGAUCUUACAUUGUUUCCCACAUGUACUUAUCAUGGAUUGCAUGUACAAGACUAAUAGGCAUCGUAUUCCACUCCUGGAGAUUGUAGGGGUAACUUCAACUAAUAUUACAUUUUUGGUUGCAUUUGCUUUCAUUGACCAUGAGAAGGAAGACAAUUACACAUUGGCAUUGACAAGAUUGAAGACUCUAAUGAAAGAUGAUUGUAUUCCUAGUGUGAUUGUCACUGAUCGAGACUUUAGCAAACUGAACUCAAAUAUAUUGAUUGCAAGGCGAGAGUACAUUUGUAAAAACAAGGUUUACUUUUUAAUGGAGGUUGUGUAAGAAAAAUUACAUUCAAAUUCAUUGCGGAUCUCUUCUUUUUCUAAGACCAAAUCAAAGAAACAAAUAAUUGAAUCAAUGAAUUACUAUAGCAGCUCCAUUUCUGACAAUGGCAAGAGGUCUCUGUGCUAAUCAAACUACCCGAAAUUUAUCCUAAAACUAUACUCGAGCUCCACCUUAUCUUCAAUCUCAAAUGCCUUCUCAAUAUGAUUUCAUCAUAAACCUGCUAUCCUAUUUAUAAGAAAUUAAGCACAAGCUAGCUCAAGUUAUGGUCUUCAAUUAAUAUUAAUUUCGACAAAUCAGUUUCCCAUCUCUUUCAUUGAUAUGAACAUGGCUGAUCUCAUUGGUGUGGCGCAAUAUUUGUUAAAUUAGCCGUUCGGGUUGAUUUCUUUGUAUAACUCAUCUGCCAAUUCUACAACUUGUAGACUUAAUUCCCAUUACAAAAUUAAAAAUAAAAUAAAAUCCAAAACCAAUGUAAGAUAAAUAAAGACUUUUUAUAUCAUAAAAUAAGACUUUCUAACUUGUAUACAAGACUAUAGUGACAAGAUCAAACACAUUGAUGGGUGCGCAAUUUCCAUCAACAUAUGUUCUGUGCGUUUAAACUGAGCGUGGAGUCUUUUUUUAGCAAUUAAAAGUUUUGUAUCAUGUAAUUGUCUUGGUUUGACAAGACCUACAUCUAGAUGAGUUGCUUCUGAAGACUAAUGUAAAACUUUAUGUUGAUAUUUCUUGAGGGUGAAACAUCGUUUGAGAAACGUUUGGGGUCUCAUUACAAUUUUUUCAUUUAUUUUUUAACUUUUGGUUUAAAUAUUCUACUACAAAUACAUUUGUGGCUUCAAUAACUAGUAAAACCACUUUCAAAUAUCUUAGUAUUGGCUUUCAGAACAAAGGGUUUUGGUAGUACAGGUGGAGCCAUGUUGUAUAGUGUAGCUGGAAUUGGGAUGAUCUCUCUCUUUAUUUAUUUAUUUUUUUCCUUUAAUUUGCUUGCUUUGAAUGUGAUGCUCAGUUCCAACCUACUAUCCUAUUUCUAAGAAAUUAAGCACAAGCUAUCUCAAGUUAUGGUCUUUAAUUAAUAUUAAUUUCCUCAAUCUGUUUCCCAUAUCUUUCAUUGAUACUAACAUGGCUGAUCUCAUUGGUGUGACGCAAGAUUUGUUAAAAUAGCUGAUCGGAUUGAUUUUUUCUUUGUACCCGAGAAGAAAUGCAGGAAGGAGGAAUUUAUAAAGACAAUGGAUACCUGCUCUUCGCUGCAAAAAACGACACUUAAAGGACAAUUUUCCCGAGGUUUUCACCGCCGUUUUUACCGUUUGCUGCAAAAAACAAAUACUCUCCCCUUGCGAGCUCCGUCAUCAAUUCCCCUCGCGAACUUUGAGUCCCUCUGAAAAAAUGAUUAAGUGAAAUUUGAAUUUUUCAAACUUUGUGUUUGGUUAUAUCUAACGAUCCCUAAUUCCAAAUUUAUGGUUUAGAUAUAUAAAAAAGAUAUCUCGGGUACUUCAUUGCUAUCCUUUAAGCUCCCCACUUUCAAACAAAGCAAAAAAUUCUAAUUGAGUUGGGUUUUGAACAUGCAGAUUAGUUAGACAACUUAAUUACCAAUCCUUAUUAUUAUUGCAACAAACACACGGAUUACACUAAAAGCUAGUGAAUCAUACACUUGCAGAUGACUUAUCCAAACACAAAGAUAAGACAUGAGUUUAUUAUUAUUGCUAUAAACACACGGAUUACAGCGAAAUUCAAAAACUAAAAACACGGAAAAAAGUAGUGAUGAAAACCAAUGCCACUUUCGCGGGGAACACGAUUGCAUUCGCACAUGCAACAAGCCUUUUAAACCCAUAGGUGACCCAAAUGGGACGAGUGAAGUCUCGUGAGGGUUUCCAGAGACGUUACCCACAAACAUCAUGCAUACUGAUCAUCAACAUCUGACUUGGGAGACUGAGUAGAUAUCCACCCCUCCAGCAUCAGGUUGUUUUUGGUUGAGGCGUAAUUCGAAUCUGUUUUCAAUGAACGGCCUGGUUAUGAGAUCGCUUUGCAAGUGACGUAAUCGGCAGCGCGUGAUUAGGUUGUUGCUGUCAGGUGGUCCGACAGGCUCGACCUUGAACAAUGUGCAAGCCCAAUUGUCUUUGGUUUCAUUUCGGUCAGCAGCUGCGGCCAGGACCAAUAGCCUGUUUUGGUCCACCCUUCUCAAGUAGUUGCCAUUGUAGGAGCAUUUGAUAUGCACGUAAUUCUUGUCGGCGUAGUCCUCAUUGUUUGGCUUCUCUGUGGUGAACUUUAUGAACCUGCUGUUUUCAUUGUCCUCAGAAAACUGGACAAUCUCAUUAAG